UAGUGUGCCCCGCAGUCAUGCAUCGUCUGUUUUGCUGGAUAAUGGUGGUUAUUGUUUACGUUAUUAGUAGCCUGAGAGUGUCGUUGAGAUUUGAAACCUCUGAAUAUCUAUACUCUUCCAAUCUUUGUAGCAAAUGGAUUGUUUGGUAUUGUUGUUUUCGCCCCAUGAGAUUUCCUAGAUGUUGCUGUUUUCUCCCAUCAUGUUUUUGUUGUCGCCAGGAAUUUACGCUUCUAGAUCCAGCUCUCACGCAAGUCAAGCGUGCAAGCUAGUUAAAGCACAUUGAUCCGCUGAGUCUCGGCGUGAUAUAAAUUGAAGAAGAGGCAAACUGAGAUUAUCGAACGGGAAGUAAACAUGGCGGAGGCUUGCGCCAAACACCUCCCCAGCGCUGCUACCCUUAGAGGAGUGCUGGUCAAUAGCAACAUUACAUACCGGUUCAGGUGUUUGCUAACAUUGCAGUUUAAGCAAAGGCGAGGUUUUCUCUGCCUAUUUCGCUGGUUACAGAGGAUCUAACACCUCACCAUCAUGCGAUCCGACAGUUUCUGGACAUCCAAAUCGAAACAUUUGGGCCAUCAGAAUAUCUUCUAUUUCCACGUUGGAAUUUUUAGUUUAAACCGAUGGCGAGCUGCAUUCCAGAAAUUGGUAGGUUGCAUCUAUUUUGGGGUCUUUUCAUAUGUGACUCAGUUGGACUUGACUGAGUAAAUGUAUGCCAAAAACGCAUGUUUGGCUACCGUAGCUACCGUUGACUUGCUUGCGCUCUGGGUGAGAACCUAGACCCAGUUUCCCGGUUCGGACGAUGGCGGCGCUAGUGUCGCUCUCCCUCAUGGGGGCAUCGUUUUUGGAGCAGCUGCCGGAUGGGGAAGACAAAAGGUGGAGCGGUGUUUCAUUUACCGCAUCGAAGACGACGGAUCUCGGUGGCAUGGCGCAGCAGGGUCUUGGCGGCAGAGGUGUGAUGAUGGACGCGCAGGGAGGUGGUGUUGUUUGGCACUGUGGUAGCGUCGACGCCAGUCCUGGCAAAGUCGAUGCGUCUGUACAUGCUCUGAAGAUGGAUCGGUGGAUGAUGGUGGUGGCGGCCUCUGAGGGUGCGCCAGACCGGUGUGACCUAGUCCCGGCAGUGGUCUGGCUGGGCCAUCCGGCUUUAGAUGUUAGGCUUUGGUGCGAUGUCUGUUUGGUAUUCUGCUCGGACAUUGGGCACCCUUCAUCAUGGGGAUAGGAGUAGCGACAGGUGUUGCUAAGUUGAUGGCUUCAGGCUUACUGAUGUAUUACUUUGUAAGAUCUUUGUGAAUAAUUAAUAAAAUGGCUGCAUCAUCGUCCAGAUGUAGAGGCCGGGGGUAUAUCUUUUUUUCUAAAAAAGGAAAAUGCAUGUUCUGCACCUUGUUUGGUAACCUACAUAUAGGCUAGCUGCAUCAGGUAACCAAUUUUUCCCUGAUGUUUGAUGGCAUGCGUUGGGCAUGGCGUAAUUUGUGAUCAUCCCUUCUCACUAGUGGUGACCUUACCGCACACGAUCAAAACAUCAUUUCAGUCCUAGCUAGUACAUGAAUGGUAGUUCAUCUUAACUACUAACAAAUAGGAUAGGAAUUAACAGUCAUAUGGCUCAACAGGGAAAAGUUCAUCGAUGCCGAACUAGGCGAAAGUCCAUCCUCUUCUUAUACACCUACUACUAAAAUUGCCUUUUAGCAUCUCAAAGAAGCACCUGCUGCAGCUCCAAUGCUAGCUCUACCAGACUUCAAGAAACAUUUUGUUGUAGAAACAAAUACUAGCAACAAAGAGAUUGGAGUUGUGCUUAUGCAUGAGGGUCACCCUCUCUCACCUCGGCAAAGCUCUGGCCCUAAGAGCAUCUCCAUCCGCGCCCCAACAGGCCCCCAGGCCCCUUUUUCGGCGCCGGCGCCCAAAAAAGGCCCAGACGUGCCCCCAAAAGCGCAUUUUUGGCCGGUUAGGCCCAAAACUGGCGCCGGCAGACCAAGGCCAAACCCGGCGCGUGAUACGUCUCCAACGUAUCUACUUUUCCAAAUACUUUUGCCCUUGUUUUGGACUCUAACUUGCAUGAUUUUAAUGGAACUAACCUGGACUGACGUUGUUUUCAGUAGAAUUGCCAUGGUGUUAUUUUUGUGUAGAAUAAAAGUUCUCGGAAUGACCUGAAACUUCAUGGAGUCACGUUUUGGAAUUAAUAAAAAAUAUUGGCGAAAGAAUCAACAGAAGGGGGCCCACACCCUGUCCACGAGGGUGCAGGGCGCGCCCCCUGCCUCGUGGGUCCCCUGGACCUCCACCGACCUCAACUCCAACUCUAUAUAUUCAUGUCCGGGGAGAAAAAAUAUCAGAGAGAAGGAUUCAUCGCGUUUUACGAUACAGAGCCGCCGCCAAGCCCCGUUCUUCCUUGGGAGGGCAGAUCUGGAGUCCGUUCGGGGCUCCGGAGAGGGGAAUCCGUCGCCAUCGUCAUCAUCAACCAUCCUCCAUCACCAAUUUCAUGAUGCUAACCGCCGUGCGUGAGUAAUCCCAUCGUAGGCUUGCUGGACGGCGAUGGGUUGGAUGAGAUUUACCAUGUAAUCGAGUUAGUUUUGUUAGGGUUUGAUCCCUAGUAUCCACUAUGUUCUAAGAUUGAUGUUGCUAUGAUUUUGCCAUGCUUAAUGCUUGUCACUAGGGUCCAAGUGCCAUGAUUUCAGAUCUGAACCUAUUAUGUUUUCAUGAAUAUAUGAGUGUCCUUGAUACUAUCUUGCAAGUUAUAGUCACCUACUACGUGUUAUGAUCCAGCAAGCCCCGGAGUGACAAUAGUCGGGACACUUCCCGGUGAUGACCGUAGUUUGAGAAGUUCAUGUAUUCACUAAGUGCUAAUGCUUUGGUCCGGUUCUCUAUUAAAAGGAGGCCUUAAUAUCCCUUAGUUUCCAAUAGGACCCGCUGCCACAGGAGGGUAGGACAAAAGAUGUCAUGCAAGUUCUUUCCCAUAAGCACGUAUGACUAUAUUUAGAAUACAUGCCUACAUUAUAUUGAAUAACUGGAGCUAGUUCUGUGUCACCCUAUGUUAUAACUGUUGCAUGAUGAAUGCCAUCUGACAUAAUUAUCCAUCAUUGAUCCAUUGCCUACGAGCUUUUCAUAUAUUGAUCUUUGCUAAGUUACUUCUCCGUUGCCACUGUUACGAUUGCUACAAAACUGCUACUGUUACUUUUGCCACUGUUACCGUUGUUUCCAUACUAGUUUGCUACUAAAUACUUUGCUGCAGAUAUUAAGUCUUUCAGGUGUGGUUGAAUUGACAACUCAGCUGCUAAUACUUGAGAAUAUUCUUUGACUCUCCUUGUGUCGAAUCAAUAAAUUUGGGUUGAAUACUCUACCCUCGAGAACUAUUGCGAUCCCCUAUACUUGUGGGUUAUUAAGACUUUUUUCUGGCGCCGUUGCCGGGGAGCAUAGCUCUGUUCUUUGAGUCACUUGGGAUUUAUAUCUGUUGAUCACUAUGAGGAAUUUGAAAGAUCAAAGAACCCAGAUUUUUCCCUCAACUACGAGGGGAGGUAAGGAACUGCCAUCUAGCUCCGCACUUGAUUCACCUUCUGUUUUGAGUAAACUUGCGACACCUACACCUGCUAUUGAUUCUGAUAUGUCGCAUGUUAUUGAUGAUGCCACUUCUGCUAUGCAUGAUGCUUAUGAUGAUAGUACUUCUCUGCUUGAUAAUACUGUGCCAUUAGGUGAAUUUCUUGAUGAACAACUUGCUAGGGUUAGAGAGAAUGAAAUUAUUGAAAUUGAUGAUAUUAAUGAAAGUGAUGAUGAAGAUUCUCCCCCUAGAUAUGAAUUUCUUGUUGUACCUGAGGGUUAUGUUAUGGAUGAAGAAACUGCUAGAGACUACCUUGCUUGCAAUGAUAGAUAUGAUCUUAAGAAACUGUUAGCUGAUACGUCCAUUUUGCAUCAUGCUUUAUAUCGAUAUUUAUUGCAUUAUGGGAUGUUACUACACAUUAUGUUACAAUACUUAUGCCUUUUCUAUCUUAUUUUACAAGGUUUACACGAAGAGGGAGAAUGCCGACAGCUGGAAUUCUAGGCUGGAAAAGGAGCAAAUAUUAGAGACCUAUCCUGCACAACUCCAAAAGUCCUGAAACUCCACAAAAGUCAGUUUUGGAAUAUAUUAAAAAUAUUGGAUGAAGAAAGCACCAGAGGGGGGCCACCCACCGUCCACGAGGGUGGAGGGCGCACCCUACCCCCCUAGGCGCGCCCCCUGUCUCGUGGGCCACCUGGCAACCCCCGAUGCCCAUCUUCUGCUAUUUGGUGUCUUUUACCCUGAAAAAAUCAUAAGGAAGCAUUCGGGAGGAAGCACCUCCGUCUCGAGGCGGAACCUUGGUGGAACCAAUCUAGGGCUCCGGCGGAGCUGUUCUGCCGGGGAAACAUCCCUCUGGGAGGGGGAAAUCAUCUCCAUCGUCAUCACCAUCGAUCCUCUCAUCGAGAGGGGGUCAAUCUCCAUCUACAUCUUCACCAGCACCAUCUCCUCUCAAACCCUAGUUCAUCUCUUGUAUCGAUCUUUGUCUCAAAACCCCAGAUUGGUACCUGUGGGUUGCUAGUAGUGUUGAUUACUCCUUGUAGUUGAUGCUAGUUGGUUUACUCGAUGGAAGAUCAUAUGUUCAGACCCUUUAUGCAUAUAAUACCCCUCUGAUUUUGAACAUGAAUAUGAUUUGUGAGUAGUUACGUUUGUUCCUGAGGACAUGGGAGAAGUCUUGUUAUAAGUAGUCAUGUGAAUUUGGUAUUCUUUCGAUAUUUUGAUGAGAUGUAUGUUGUCUUUCCUCUAGUGGUGUUAUGUGAAGUCGACUACAUGACACUUCACCGUUGUUUGGGCCUAGGGGAAGGCAUUGGGAAGUAAUAAGUAGAUGAUGGGUUGCUAGAGUGACAGAAGGUUAACCCUAGUUUAUGCGUUGCUUCGUAAGGGGCUGAUUUGGAUCCACAUGUUUCAUGCUAUGGUUAGGUUUACCUUAAUUCUUCUUUCGUAGUUGGGGAUGCUUGCGAGAGGGGUUAAUCAUAAGUGGGAUGCUUGUCCAAGGAAGGGAAGUACCCAAGCACCCGUCCACCCACAUAUCAAAUUAUCAAAGUAAUGAACGCGAAUCAUAUGAGCAUGACGAAAACUAGCUUGGCGAUAAUUCCCAUGUGUCCUCCAGAGCGCUUUGCUUUAUAUAAGAGUUUGUCCAGGCUUGUCCUUUGCUACAAAAAGGAUUGGGCCACCUUGCUGCACCUUAUUUACUUUUGUUACUUGUUACCCGUUACGAAUUAUCUUAUCACAAAACUAUUUGUUACCGAUAAUUUCAGUGCUUGCAGAGAAUACCUUACUGAAAACCACUUGUCAUUUCCUUCUACUCUUGGUUGGGUUUGACACUCUUACUUAUCAAAAGGACUACGAUAUGUCCCCUAUACUUGUGGGUCAUCAAGACUCUUUUCUGGCGCCAUUGCCGGGGAGUAAAGCGCCUUUGGUAGGUGGAAUUUGGUAAGGAAAAAUUUAUAUUGUGUGCUGAAAUUUAUUGUCACUUGUUACUAUGGAAAAUAAUCCUUUGAGGGGCUUGUUCGGGGUAUCUUCACCCUGACCAGAAGAGCAAAGAGUUGCUCCUCAACCUACUAAACUACUGAAAAUAUUCACUUUGAAAUUCCUUCGGGUAUGAUAGAUAAACUGCUAGCUAAUCCCUAUACAGGAGAUGGAACGUUACAUCCCGAUAUGCACCUAAUCUAUGUGGAUGAAGUUUGUGGAUUAUUUAAGCUUGCAGGUAUGCCCGAGGAUGUUAUCAAGAAGAAGGUCUUCCCUUUAUCUUUGAAGGGAAAGGCAUUGACAUGGUUUAGGCUAUGUGAUGAUAUUGGAUCAUGGAACUACAACCGAUUGAAAUUGGAAUUUCAUCAGAAGUUUUAUCCUAUGCAUCUGGUUCAUCAUGAUCGUAAUUAUAUAUACAAUUUUUGGCCUCGUGAAGGAGAAGUAUCGCUCAACCUUGGGGGAGGCUUAAGUCAAUGUUAUAUUCAUGCCCCAAUCAUGACCUCUCAAGAGAAAUUAUUAUUCAAAAAUUUUAUGCUCGACUUUCUCUUAAUAAUCGCUCCAUGCUCGAUACUUCUUGUACCGGUUCUUUUAUGAUGAAGACUAUUGAAUUCAGAUGGGAUUUAUUGGAAAGAAUUAAACGCAACUCUGAAGAUUGGGAACUCGACGAAGGUAAGGAGUCAGGUAUAACACCUAAGUUUGAUUGUGUUAAAUCUUUUAUGGAUACCGAUGCUUUUCGUGAAUUUAGCACUAAAUAUGGACUUGACUCUGAGAUAGUAGCUUCUUUCUGUGAAUCAUUUGCUACUCAUGUUGAUCUCCCUAAGGAUAAGUGGUUUAAAUAUCAUACUCCCAUUGAAGUAAAAGUAGUAGAACCUAUUAAAGUUGAAGAAAAGACUAUCACUUAUAAUGUUGAUCCUAUUGUUCCUACCGCUUAUAUUGAGAAACCACCCUUUCCUGUUAGAAUAAAGGAUCAUGCUAAAGCUUCAACUGUGGUUCGUAAGAAUAAUGCUAGAACACCCAUGAUACGUCUCACAUAUCUAUAAUUUUUGAUUGUUCCAUGCUAUUAUAUUACCCCUUUUGGAUGUUUAUGGGCUUUAUUUUACACAUUUAUAUCAUUUUUGGGACUAACCUACUAACCGGAGGCCCAGCCCGUAUUGUUGUUUUUUUGUGCCUAUUUUAGUAUUUCGAAGAAAAGGAAUAUCAAACGGAGUCCAAACGGAAGGAAACCUUCGGGAGCGUGAUUUUUGGAACGAACGUGAUCCGGAGAACUUGGAGUGCAAGUCAAGAAGCUUGCGAGGCGGCCAGGAGACAGGAGGGCGCGCCCACCCCCUGGGCACAUCCCUAUCUCCUGGGCCCCACAGGCGGCCACCGACGUACUUCUUCUUCCUAUAUAUACCUACGUACCCCGAAAACAUCCAGGGAGCCAACGAAACACAAUUUCCACCACCGUAACCUUCUGUAUCCGCGAGAUCCCAUCUUGGAGCCUUCGCCGGCGCUCCGCCGGAGGGGGAAUCGACCACGGAGGGCGUCUACAUCAACACCAUAGCCCCUCCGAUGAGUUGUGAGUAAUUUACCACAGACCUUCGGGUCCAUAGUUAUUAGCUACAUGGCUUCUUCUCUCUUUUUGGAUCUCAAUACAAUGUCCCCCCCCUCUCUUGUGGAGAUCUAUUCGAUGUAAACUCUUUUUGUGGUGUGUUUGUCGAGAUCCGAUGAAUUGUGGGUUUAUGAUCAAGUUUAUCUAUGAGAAAUAUUUGAAUCUCCUCUGAAUUCUUUUAUGUAUGAUUGAGUUAUCUUUGCAAGUCUCUUCGAAUUAUAAGUUUGGUUUGGCCUACUAGAUUGAUCUUUCUUGCCAUGGGAGAAGUGCUUAGCUUUGGGUUUAAUCUUGCAAUGUCCUUUCCCAGUGAUAGCAGGGGAAGCAAGGCACAUAUUGUAUUGUUGCCAUCGAGGAUAAAAAGAUGGGGUUUAUAUCAUAUUGCUUGAGUUUAUCCCUCUACAUCAUGUCAUCUUUCUUAAUGCGUUACUCUGUUCUUUAUGAACUUAAUACUCUAGAUGCAGGCAGGAGUCGGUCGAUGUGUGGAGUAAUAGUAGUAGAUGCAGGCAGGAGUCGGUCUACUUGUUGCGGACAUGAUGCCUAUAUACAUGAUCAUGCCUAGAUAAUCUCAUAAUUAUUUGCUUUUCUAUCAAUUGCUCGACAGUAAUUUGUUCACCCACCGUAAUACUUAUGCUAUCUUGAGAGAAGCCACUAGUGAAACCUAUGGCCCCCGGGUCUAUCUUUUAUCAUAUAAUCUUUCAAUCUACUUUUAUUUGCAUCUUUACUUUUUGCAUCUAUAUUAUAAAAUACCAAAAAUAUAUUUAUAUUAUCAUAUUAUCUCUAUCAGAUCUCACUUUUGCAAGUGGCCGUAGGGAUUGACAACCCCUUUAUCGCGUUGGUUGCGAGUUCUUUAUUUGUUUGUGUAGGUGCGUGGGACUUUUGAGGAGCCUCCUACUGGAUUGAUACCUUGGUUCUCAAAAACUGAGGGAAAUACUUAUGCUACUAUUGCUGCAACACCCUUUCCUCUUCAAGGAAAACCAACGCAAGCUCAAGACGUAGCAAGAAGGUUUUCUGGCACCGUUGUCGGGGAGGUCUUCACUCAAGUCAAGACAUACCAAGUACCCAUCACAAACUCAUCUCCCUCGCAUUUACAUUAUUUGCCAUUUGCCUCUCGUUUUCCUCUCCCCCACUUCAUCCUUGCCGUUUUAUUUGCCCUCUCUUUCCCAAUCUCCUCCUCUCUCUUUCGCUUGCCUUUUUUGCUCGUGUGUUAGAUCGUUUACCUUGUCAUUAUGGCUAGUCCUCCUAUCCUUGUUAUCACUCCCGAACAUGAAAUUCUCAAUUUUAAGCAAAGGGAGGGAGAGAAUUUAAAAGAUGCUUGGCAUAUAAUUUGCAAUGCUCAAAAUAGAUCUACUAGGAAGGUUUCUACUUCCGUUCUUCUUCGCAAUUUUUAUGUAGGCAUUACUCCUUGGAAUAGAUGUGUUCUUGAUACCAUUGUCGGAGGGGAUUUCUUGAGUAGCCAUACAUUUGAUGCUUAUAAUGCUAUGUUAGAUUUGUUUGGCCCACCACCUCUUUUGGUUAAUGGAACUACUUUAACUUUAGAACACGUUAUGCAACGGCUUGAGAUUAUUGAAAAUAAAAUUGCCACUGUUGAGUUGAUUGAAAAUUUGGAUAAAAAUAUUCAUAAUCACAUCACCCAAUAUGGAUCUAUGGUUGGAGUUACUUUGAAAAAUCUUAUAGAGAAAGAACCUAUAGUUAAUGAAAAAUAGAUCUAGAUUCUGCAAGAAUCGGUAAACUUGAGGAUAUCAUUACCAACUUAGGUUCCGCAUUUCUUCCAUGAAAAAUACUCCAAAACUCCCCACCAAAACUGCCAAGUUUAUUUAUGUUCCUAAAAAUAAGGGGGAAUCUUCUAGUAAAGGAGACGCGGAUCUCAAAUCCAUAAGUGUUCAUCCAAAUUGUCUCUCUAUCAUUAAGGAACCUUUUGCUACAAAUGAAUUUCUUGAAUUUUUGCCUAAAGGUUUAAGCAUUGCUAAAAAGGGAGAAACCCCUAAAGAUUAUAAGUGCUCUAUUGAGGAAUUGAGUGCCAAAGAUGGCACUACUUAGAUCUAUCUUCGCUUUUAUGCCUAGCUAGGGGCGUUAAACGAUAGCGCUAGUUGGGAGGCAACCCAAUUUUAUUUGUGUUUUUUGUUUUUGUUUCUGUUUAGUAAUAAAUUUUGCAUCUACCUCCUGUUUAGAUGUUUUUUAUGUUUUAAUUAAUGUUUGUGCCAAGUAGAACCUAUAGGACAACCUAUGAUGAUAGUUGAUUUGAUUCUGCUGAAAGAACAGAAACUUUUCACGCACGAAUUUAGUUUUGUUAAAUCACAGGAACGUGAUUUUGUGUUGAUUCUUUUUUCUACUGAUCAACAUACAAAUUUUCCAGGACUGCCUAUUUUGGUAGGAUUUUUAGAGUUCCAGAAGUUUGCGUUAGUUACAGAUUCCUAUAGACUGUUCUGUUUUUAACAGAUUCUGUUUUCGUGUGUUGUUUGCUUAUUUUGAUGCAUCUAUGGCUAGUAAAAUAGUUUAUAAACCAUAGAGAAGUUGGAAUAUAGUAGGUUUAACACCAAAAUAUAUAAAUAAUGAGUUCAUUACAGUACCUUAUGUGGUGGUUUUGUUUUCUUUCACUAACGGAGCUUAUAAGAUUUCCUGUUGAGUUUUGUGUUGUGAAGUUUUCAAGUUUUGGGUAAAGCUUUGAUGGACUAUGGAAUACGGAGUGGCAAGAGCCUAAGCUUGGGGAUGCCCAUGGCACCCCAAGAUACUCAACAAUAGCCAAAAGCCUAAGCUUGGGGAUGCCCCGGGAAGGCAUCCCCUCUUUCGUCUUUGUUCAUUGGUAACUUUACUUGGAGCUAUAUUUUUAUUUGCCACAUGAUAUGUGUUUUGCUUGCAGCGUCGUGUAUUAUAUUAGUCUUUGCUUUUUAGUUUACCACAAUCAUCCUUGCUGUACACACCUUUUGGGAGAAGCCCACUUGACUAGAAUUUGCUAGAAUACUCUAUGUGCUUCACUUAUAUCUUUUGAGAUUGAUAGUUUAUGCUCUAGUGCUUCAUUUAUACCUUUUAGAGCACGACGGUGGCUUAAUUUUGAAGAAAUUGCUAGUAUCUCAUGCUUCACUUAUAUUAUUUUGAGAGUCUUUUAGAACAGCAUGGCAUUUGCUAUGGUUACAGAUUUGGUCCUAGAAUGAUGAGCAUCCAAGUUGGGUAUAAUAAAAACUAUCAUAGGAAGUGAAUUGGAUGCUAUGAUCAAUUUGAUGUUUGAUAAUUGUUUUGAGAUAUAGAGGUAGUAAUGUUAGAGUCAUGCUAGUGGGUAAUUAUGAAAUUGAGAAAUACUUGUGUUGAAGUUGGCAAGUCCCGUAGCAUGCAGUAUGGUAAAAGUUGUGUGACAAAUUUGUUGCAUGAGGUGCUCUUUUGAUUGUCUUCCUUAUGAGUGGAGGUCGGGAUCACGCGAUGGUUAAAUCCUACCAACCCUUCCCCUAGGAGCAUGCGUAGUAGUACUUUGCUUUGAGGGCAAGUAGACUUUUGCAAUAAGUAUACGAGUUCUUUAUGACUAAUGUGAGUCCAUGGAUAUACGCACGCUCAUCCUUCCACUUUGCUAGCCUCUAUUAUACCACGCAACUUUCGCCAGUAUCAUGCACCCAUUAUUUACCUUCCUCAAAACAGCCACCAUACCUACCUAUUAUGGCAUUUCCAUAGCCAUUCCGAGAUAUAUUGCCAUGCAACUUUCCACCGUUUCGUUUAUUAUGACACGUUCCAUCAUUGUCAUAUUGCUCUUUGCAUGAUCAUGUAGUUGACAUCGUAUUUGUGGCAAGGCCACCUUCAUAAUUUUCAUACAUGUCGCUCUUGAUUCACUGCAUAUCCCGAUACACCGCCGGAGGCAUUCAUAUAGAGUCAUAUCUUGUUCUAGCUUUGAGUUGUAAUUCUUGAGUUGUAAAUCAAUAAAAGUGGGAUGAUCUUCAUUAUUAGAGCAUUGUCUCAGUGAGGAAAGGAUGAUGAAGACUAUGAUUCCCCCACAAGUCGGGAUGAGACUUCGGACAUUACAAAAAAAAAAGAGAAAGGCCAAAAAAAAAGGCCAAAGAAAAAAAAAGAAAAAAAGAAAAAAAGGAGAAAAAAUGAGAGAAAAAGAGAGAAGGGACAAUGCUACUAUCUCUUUUUCCACACUUGUGCUUCAAAGUAGCACCAUGAUCUUCAUGAUAGAGAGUCUCAUAUGUUGUCACUUUCAUAUACUAAGUGGGAAUUUUUCAUUAUAGAACUUGGCUUGUAUAUUCCAAUGAUGGGCUUCCUCAAAAUGCCCUAGGUCUUCGUGAGCAAGCGAGUUGGAUGCACACCCACUUAGUUUCUUUUGUUGAGCUUUCAUAUAUUUAUAGCUCUAGUGCAUCCGUUGCAUGGCAAUCCCUACUCACUCACAUUGAUAUCUAUUGAUGGGCAUCUCCAUAGCCCAUUGAUACGCCUAGUUGAUGUGAGACUAUCUUCUCCCUCUUUUUGUCCUCACAACCACCACCUUAUACCACCAUAGUGCUAUGUCCAUGGCUCGCGCUCAUGUAUUGCGUAAGAGUUGAAAAAGCUGAAGCGCGCUAAAAAGUAUGAACCAAUUGCUUGUCUGAAAUCGGGGUUGUGCAUGAUGGGAGUAUUUUGUGUAAUGAAAAUGAAGCAUGGCCUAACUAUAUGAUUUUUGUAGGGAUAAGCUUUCUGUGGCUAUGCUAUUUUGAUAGGACAUGAUUAUUUGUUAGUAUGAUUCAAAGCAUUAUUAUUUUAUGUUUUAUAAGCUUUUAUCUUGAAUCAUUUGGAUAUGAACUUUCAUGCCACAAUAAAGAAAAUUACAUUGAGAAUUAUGCUAGGUAGCAUUCCACAUCAAAAAUUCUAUUUUUAUCAUUUACCUACUCAAGGACGAGCAGGAAUUAAACUUGGGGAUGCUUGAUACGUCUCCAACGUAUCUAUAAUUUUUGAUUGUUCCAUGCUAUUAUAUUACCCCUUUUGGAUGUUUAUGGGCUUUAUUUUACACAUUUAUAUCAUUUUUGGGACUAACCUACUAACCGGAGGCCCGGCCCGUAUUGCUGUUUUUUUGCCUAUUUCAGUAUCUCUAAGAAAAGGAAUAUCAAACGGAGUCCAAACGGCAUGAAACCUUCGGGAGCGUGAUUUUUGGAACGAACAUGAUCUAGAGAACUUGGAGUGCAAGUCAAGAAGUUUGCGAGGCGGCCAGGAGACAGGAGGGCGCACCCACCCCCCUGGACACGCCCCUAUCUCCUCGGCCCCACAGGCGGCCACCGACGUACUUCUUCUUCCUAUAUAUACCUACGUACCCCAAAAACAUCCAGGGAGCCAACGAAACACAAUUUCCACCACUGUAACCUUCUGUAUCCGCGAGAUCCCAUCUUGGAGCCUUCACCGGCGCUCCGUCGGAGGGUGAAUCGACCAUGGAGGGCGUCUACAUCAACACCAUAGCCCCUUCGAUGAGUUGUGAGUAGUUUACCACAGACCUUCGGGUCCAUAGUUAUUAGCUAGAUGGCUUCUUCUCUCUUUUUGGAUCUCAAUACAAUGUUCUCCCCCUCUCUUCUGGAGAUCUAUUCGAUGUAAACUCUUUUUGCGGUGUGUUUGUCGAGAUCCAAUGAAUUGUGGCUUUAUGAUCAAGUUUAUCUAUGAGAAAUAUUUGAAUCUCCUCUGAAUUCUUUUAUGUAUGAUUGAGUUAUCUUUGCAAGUCUCUUCGAAUUAUCAGUUUGGUUUGGCCUACUAGAUUGAUCUUUCUUGCCAUGGGAGAAGUGCUUAGCUUUGGGUUCAAUCUUGCGGUGUCCUUUCCCAAUGACAGCAGGGGCAGCAAGGCACGUAUUGUAUUGUUGCCAUCAAGGAUAAAAAGAUGGGGUUUAUAUCAUAUUGCUUGAGUUUAUCCCUCUACAUCAUGUCAUCUUUCUUAAUGCGUUACUCUAUUCUUUAUGAACUUAAUACUCUAGAUGAAGGCAGGAGUCGGUCGAUGUGUGGAGUAAUAGUAGUAGAUGCAGGCAGGAGUCGGUCUACUUGUUGCACACGUGAUUCCUAUAUACAUGAUCAUGCCUAGAUAAUCUCAUAAUUAUUCGCUUUUCUAUCAAUUGCUCGAUAGUAAUUUGUUCACCCACCGUAAUACUUAUGCUAUCUUGAGAGAAGCCACUAAUGAAACCUAUGGCCCCCGGGUCUAUCUUUUAUCAUAUAAGCUUUCAAUCUACUUUUAUUUGCAUCUUUACUUUUUGCAUCUAUAUUAUAAAAUACCAAAAAUAUAUUUAUAUUAUCAUAUUAUCUCUAUCAGAUCUCACUUUCGCAAGUGGCCGUGAAGGGAUUGACAACCCCUUUAUUGCGUUGGUUGCGAGUUCUUUGUUUGUUUGUGUAGGUGCGUGGGACUUUUGAGGAGCAUCCUACUGGAUUGAUACCUUGGUUCUCAAAAACUGAGGGGAAUACUUACGCUACUAUUGCUGCAUCACCCUUUCCUCUUCAAGGAAAACCAACGCAAGCUCAAGACAUAGCAACCCACACCCCCUGAGCAAAUUAAAGUUGAACCUAGUAUUGCUAUGGUUAAAGAUCUCUUGGUCGAUAACAUUGAUGGGCAUGUUAUUUACUUCUGUGAUGAAGCUACUAGAAUUGCUAGACCUGAUACUAAAAAUAAACAUAGACCUGUUGUUGGCAUGCCUGUUGUUUCUGUUAAAAUAGGAGAUCAUUGUUAUCAUGUCUUACGUGAUAUGGGUGCUAGUGUGAGUGCAAUACCUCAUUCCUUAUACAAAGAAAUUAUGCAUGAUAUUGCACCUGCUGAGAUAGAAGAUAUUGAUGUUACUAUUAAGCUUGCCAAUAGAGAUACUAUUUCACCAAUUGGGAUUGUUAGAGGUGUUGAAGUCUUGUGUGGGAAAAUUAAAUACCCUACUGAUUUUCCUAUUCUUGGUUCCCCACAAGUUGACUUUUGUCCCCAUUAUAUUUGGCAGACCCUUCUUGAAUACUGUUAAUGCUAAGAUAGAUUGCGAGAAGUAUAUCAUUACUGUUGGUUUAGGGGAUAUGUCUCAUGAUUUUAAUUUCUCUAAAUUUUGUAGAAAACCCCAUGAUACAGAAUUGCCUAGUAAAGAUGAAAUUAUUGGUCUUGCUUCUAUUGUCGUGCCUCCUAAUGAUCCGUUAGAACAAUAUUUGCUCGACCAUGGAAAUGAUAUGUUUAUGAAUGAAAGAAGGGAAAUAGAUGAAUUAUUCUUUAAACAAGGACCUAUUUUGAAACACAACUUGCCUGUUGAAAUCCUAGGGGAUCCGCCUCCACCCAAGGGAGAUCCCGUGUUUGAGCUUAAACAACUACCUGAUAGUUUGAAAUAUGCUUAUCUUGAUGAAAAGAAAAUAUAUCCUGUUAUUAUUAGUGCUAACCUUUCAGAGCAUGAAGAAGAGAAAUUAUUGAAAACUCUGAAGAAGCACUGUGCUGAUAUUGGAUAUACUCUUGAUGAUCUUAAGGGCAUUAGUCCCACUCUAUGCCAGCACAAAAUAAAAUUGGAGAAAGAUGCUAAACUGGUUGUUGAUCACCAAUGACGGUUAAAUCCUAAGAUGAAAGAAGUGGUGAGAAAUGAAAUACUAAAGCUUCUGGAGGCAGGUAUAAUUUAUCUUGUUGCUGAUAGUCAGUGGUUAAGUCUUGUCCAUUGUGUCCCUAAGAAGGGAGUUAUUACUGUUGUUCCUAAUGAUAAGGAUGAAUUGAUCCCACAAAGAAUUGUUACAGGUUAUAGAAUGGUAAUUGAUUUCCGUAAAUUAAAUAAAGCUACUAGAAAAGAUCAUUACCCUCUACCUUUUAUUGAUCAAAUGCUAGAAAGACUAUCCAAACAUACACAUUUUUGCUUUCUAGAUGGUUAUUCUGGUUUCUCUCAAAUACCUCUGUCAAAAGAGGAUCAGGAUAAGACCACUUUUACUUGCCCUUUCGGUACCUUUGCUUAUAGACGUAUGCCUUUUGGUUUAUGCAAUGCACCUGCUACCUUUCAAAGAUGUAUGACUGCUAUAUUCUCUGACUUUUGUGAAAAGAUUGUUGAGGUUUUCAUGGAUGAUUUCUCCAUUUAUGGAACUUCUUUUGAUGAUUGCUUAAGCAACCUUGAUCAAGUUUUGUAGAGAUGUGAAGAAACUAAUCUUGUCUUGAGUUGGGAGAAGUGCCACUUUAUGGUUAAUGAAGGUAUUGUCUUGGGGCAUAAAAUUUCUGAAAGAGGUAUUGAAGUUGAUAAAGCUAAGGUUGAUGCUAUUGAAAAGAUGUCGUGUCCUAAGGACAUCAAAGGUAUAAGAAGUUUCCUUGGUCAUGUUGGUUUUUAUAGGAGGUUCACUAAAGACUUCUCUAAAAUUUCCAGGCCUUUGACUAACCUCUUACAAAAAGAUGUUCCUUUUGUUUUUGAUGAUGAUUGUGUAGAAGCAUUUGAAAGACUUAAGAAAGUCUUGAUUUUUGCACCUAUUGUUCAGCCACCUGAUUGGAAUUUACCCUUUGAAAUUAUGUGUGAUGCUAGUGAUUAUGCUAUAGGUGCUGUUCUAGGACAAAGAGUUGAUAAGAAAUUAAAUGUUAUCCAAUAUGCAAGUAAAACUCUAGACAGUGCCCAGAGAAAUUAUGCUACCACUGAAAAAGAAUUUUUAGCAGUUGUGUUCGCUUGUGAUAAGUUCAGACCCUAUAUUGUUGAUUCCAAAGUAACUGUUCACACUGAUCAUGCUGCUAUUAAAUAUCUGAUGGAAAAGAAGAUGCUAAGCCUAGACUUAUUAGACGGGUUCUCUUGCUACAAGAAUUUGAUUUGCAUAUUAUUGAUAGAAAGGGAGCUGAGAACCUCGUUGCAGACAACUUAUCUAGGUUAGAGAAUGUUCUUGAUGACCCACUACCUAUUAAUGAUAGCUUUCCUGAUGAACAAUUAGCUGUCAUAAACGCUUCUCGUACUUCUCCAUGGUAUGUUGAUUAUGCCAAUUACAUUGUUGCUAAAUUUAUACCACCCAGUUUCACAUACCAGAAAAAGAAAAAGUUUUUCUAUGAUUUAAGACACUACUUUUGGGAUGACCCACACCUUUAUAAAGAAGGAGUAGAUGGUGUUAUUAGACGUUGUGUACUUGAGCAUGAACAGGAACAUAUCCUAUGCAAGUGUCACUCCGAGGCUUAUGGAGGACACCAUGCUGGAGAUAGAACUGCACAUAAGGUAUUGCAAUCCGGUUUUUAUUGGCCUACUCUCUUCAAAGAUGCCCAUAAGUUUGUCUUGUCUUGUGAUGAAUGUCAAAGAAUUGGUAAUAUUAGUAGACGUCAAGAAAUUCCUAUGAAUUAUUCACUUGUUAUUGAACCAUUUGAUGUUUGGGGCUUUGAUUAUAUGGAACAUUUUCCUUCCCCUAAUGGGUAUACACAUAUUUUAGUUGCCGUUGAUUACGUUACUAAGUGGGUAGAAGCUAUUCCAACUGGUAGUGCUGAUCAUAACACCUCUAUUAAGAUGCUUAAAGAAGUUAUUAUUCCGAGGUUUGGAGUCCCUAGAUAUUUGAUGACUGAUGGUGGUUCACAUUUUAUUCAUGGUGCUUUUCGUAAAAUGCUUGCUAAGUAUGAUGUUAACCAUAUAAUUGCAUCUCCAUACCACCCUCAGUCUAGUGGUCAAGUAGAAUUGAGUAAUAGAGAGAUUAAAUUGAUUUUGCAAAGGACUAUUAAUAGAUCUAGAAAGAAUUGGUCCAAGAAACUUGACGAUGCAUUAUGGGCCUAUAGAACUGCAUAUAAAAAUCCUAUGGGUAUGUCUUUGUAUAAAAUGGUUUAUGGAAAAGCAUGUCAUUUAUCUCGCGAACUAGAACAUAAGGCAUAUUGGGCCAUUAAAGAGCUCAAUUAUGAUUUCAAACUUGCCGGUGAAAAGAGGCUAUUUGAUAUUAGCUCACUUGAUGAAUGGAGAACCCAGGCCUAUGAGAAUGCCAAAUUGUUUAAAGAAAAAGUUAAAAGAUGGCAUGGCAAAAGGAUACAAAAGCAUGAGUUUAAUGUAGGUGAUUAUGUUAUGCUAUACAACUCUCAUUUAAGAUUUUUUGCAGGAAAACUUCUUUAUAAAUGGGAAGGUCCUUACAUUAUCGAGGAGGUCUAUCGUUCCGGUGCCAUAAAAUCAACAACAUCGAAGGCACAAAUCCGAUGGUGGUGAACGGUCAAAGAAUCAAACGUUAUAUCUCAGGCACUAUUGAUCUCACAUAAUCCCAUAAAUGUUGAAACCAAUGUUAUUGACACCGUAACCCUGGAGGAGUACAUAAGGGACACUUCCCAGAAUGUUUUAGACUCCGAAAAGGAAUAGGUAUGUGGUACGAUAAGUAAACCGACUCCAAAACAGUUCUAAUAGCAUUUUUUCUCCAUUUUGGAAUAUUUAAAAAAAUAGGAAAAUAAGAAGCAGUCUGAAGGAGACACGGGGCAUCCACGAUGGUGGAGGGCGCGCCCUACCCCCUGGGCACGCCCCCUGCCUCGUGGACACCCCGUGUGCCCUCCGGACUCAGUUUUCUUGCACGAUGCUUCUUUUGGUCGGUAAAAAUUCAUUAUAUAAUCUCUCGAAGAUUUUGACCACCGUACCACGACGAAAUCCUCUAUUUUUGUUUUGAGCUCUUUUCUGCCAGAGUUUCUCAAGGUCAGGCAUCAUGUCACCCCCCUCCUCCAACAACGUGGGCGAUAAUGCUUGGCUAAUGAAGAUAGAGACAAAGCAAUAAGAAAUUGGGGAAAUCAAGGAAGGUGACAAGAUCAAGGAAGCCGUAGAGGAGCAAGUCCCGGCAGUAGAAGAAGAAGGCUUCUUUCAACCUUACUACAAUCAUCUCACCUCUACUGAAAUUGAAGCUUUCAAGAUGAUUGAGCUAGUUCACAUACAAAACAAGUAUCUCACACAUGAAAAUAUUUUGUUGCAAGAGCAUAUCACCGAACUCAAGGGCAUCAUCCGCAAGUUGGAGGAUCUCCUACGCUCGAUGUGCGACAUCCCGUCAUCAACAACUCCAUCAUCACCACCUCCGAAGAAAGAGACAUAAAUACAUGGGUAUGGGCACUCCCCUUGGCAACUGCCAAGCUUGGGAGAGGUGCCCCGGUAUAGUAUCACCAUCACACUUCUAUACCGUUUUCUUAGUUUGAUCCUUUUGGUUAUAUCUUGAUCUAGUAGAAUAAAGUUUUAGUAUGAUCUAGUUUUGAGUUUGGUUUUGAUCUCUAUCUAUGUAAUCGAGUCCGUGAGCUAUAUAUAUAAUAAAGAUUAGUUUUGAGUUGAGGGCCUUUUCUAUCUUGCUAUGAUCUUGAGGGAAUAAAAGAAAAAUGAUAAUAAAAAAGAGAUCAUAUUGAUCUUAUGGAGAGUAAUGACUUCACAUAUAAAGAGUAUGAUGAAUAAAAGUUGUUGAGAGUUGAUAAACAUAGUUUUGGUCAUCGUUGCAAUUAAUAGGAAGUAGAGAGCUUUUCACAUAUAAAUAUACUAUCUUGGACAUAUUUUAUGAUUGUGAGCACUCAUCAAAAUAUGACAUGCUAAAAAGUUGAUGUUGGACAAGGAAGACAAUGUAAUGGGUUAUGUAUUCUUAUAUCUGAAAUAAAUUAUAUGUCAUGGAUCAUCCAACAUGUUGAGCUUGCCUUCCCCCCCUCAUGCUAGCCAAAUUCUUUGCACCAAGUAGAGACACUACUUGUGCUUCCAAACAUCCCUAUACCCAGUUUUGCCAUGAGAGUCCACCAUACCUACCUAUGGAUUGAGUAAGAUCCUUCAAGUAAGUUGUCAUCGGUGCAAGCAAUAAAAAUUGCUCUCUAAAUAUGUAUGAUCUAUUAGUGUGGAGAAAAUAAGCUUUAUACAAGCUUGUGAUAUGGAAGAAAUAAAAGCGACGGACUGCAUAAUAAAGGUCCCUAUCACAAGUGGCAAUAUAAAGUGACGUUCUUUUGCAUUAAAAUUUUGUGCAUCCAACCAUAAAAGUGCACGACAACCUCUGCUUCACUCUGCGAAGGGCCUAUCUUUUAUUUUUAUCUUCUACCUUAUACAAGAGUCAUGGUGAUCUUCACCUUUCCUUUUUACACUUUAUCCUUUGGCAAGCACUAUGUGUUGGAAAGAUCCUGAUAUAUAUAUCCACUUGGAUAUAGGUUUUCAUAUAUUAUUAUUGUUGACAUUACCCUUGAGGUAAAAGGUUGGGAGGCGAAACUAUAAGCCCCUAUCUUUCUCUGUGUCCGAUUGAAACUUCAUACCCAUAAGUAUCACGUGAGUGUUAGCAAUUGUGAAAGACUAAAUGAUAGUUGAGUAUGUGGACUUGCUGAAAAGCUCUUACAUUGGCUCUUUCCGAUGUUAUGAUAAAUUGCAAUUGCUUCAAUGAGUGAGAUCAUAGUUUGUUAGUUUUCAAUGAAGUUUCUGAUUCAUACUUUACAGUGUGAAUAGAUUGUUACUUUAGCAUAAGAAAUAAUAUGACAAUAUAUAUAUGUUGCUGUUCUAAGAAUGAUCAUGAUGCCCUCAUGUCCGUAUUUUAUUUUAUCGACACCUUUAUCUCUAAACUUGUGGACAUAUUUUUCGAUAUCGGCCUUUGCUUGAGGACAAGCGAGGUCUAAGCUUGGGGGAGUUUAUAUGUCCAUUUUGCAUCAAGCUUUUAUAUUGAUAUUAGUUGCAUUAUGGGCUGUUACUACACAUUAUGUCACAAUACUUAUGCCCUUUCUCUCUUAUUUUAUAAGGUUUACACAAAGAGGGAGAAUGCCGACAACUGGAAUUCUGGGCUGGAAAAGGAGCAAAUAUUAGAGACCUAUUCUGCACAACUCCAAUAGUCCUGAAACUCCACGAAAGUCACUUUUGGAAUAUAUUAAAAAUAUUGGGCAAAGAAAGCACCAGAGGGGGGGGGGGGCACCCACCGUCCACGAGGGUGGAGGGCGCGCCCAACCCCCUGGGUAUGCCCCCUGCCUCAUGGGCAACCUGGCAACCCCCCGAUGCCCAUCUUCUGCUAUAUGGUGUCCUUUGCCAUGAAAAAAAAUCAUAAGGAAGCUUUCGGGACGAAGCGCCGCCGUCUCGAGGUGGAACCUUGGCGGAACCAAUCUAGGGCUCCAACAGAGCUGUUCUGCCGGGGAAACAUCCCUCUGGGAGGGGGAAAUCGUCGCCAUCAUCAUCACCAUCAAUCCUCUCAUCGAGAGGGGGUCAAUCUCCAUCAACAUCUUCACCAGCACCAUCUCCUCUCAAACCCUAGUUCAUCUCUUGUAUCCGAUCUUUGUCUCAAAACCUCAGAUUGGUACCUGUGGUAGUGUUGAUUACUCCUUGUAGUUGAUGCUAGUUGGUUUAUUCGAUGGAAGAUCAUAUGUUUAGAUACUUUAUGCAUAUUAAUACCCCUAUGAUUUUGAACAUGAAUAUGAUUUAUGAGUAGUUACGUUUGUUCCUGAGGACAUGGGAGAAGUCUUGUUAUAAGUAGUCAUGUGAAUUUGGUAUUCGUUCGAUAUUUUGAUAAGAUGUAUGUUGUCUUUCCUCUAGUGAUGUUAUGUGAAUGUCGACUACAUGACACUUCACCAUUGUUUGGGCCUAGGGGAAGGCAUUGGGAAGUAAUAAGUAGAUGAUGGGUUGCUAGAGUGACAGGAGCUUAAACCCUAGUUUAUGUGUUGCUUUGUAAGGGGCUGAUUUGGGUCCACAUGUUUCAUGCUAUGUUUAGGUUUACCGUAAUUCUUCUUUCGUAGUUGCGGAUGCUUGCAAGAGGUUAAUCAUAAGUGGGAUGCUUGUCCAAGGAAGGGCAGUACCCAAGCACCGGUCCACCCACAUAUCAAAUUAUCAAAGUAAUGAACGCGAAACAUAUGAGCAUGACGAAAGCUAGCUUGACGAUAAUUCCCAUGUGUCCUCGGGAGCGCUUUGCUUUAUAUAAGAGUUUGUCCAGGCUUGUCCUUUGCUACAAAAAGGAUUGGGACACCUUGUUGCACCUUAGUUACUUUUGUUACUUGUUACCUGUUACAAAUUAUCUUUUCACAAAACUAUCUGUUACCGAUAAUUUCAGUGCUUGCAAAGAAUACCUUACUUAAAACCGCUUGUCAUUUCCUUCUGCUCCUCGCUGGGUUCGACACUCUUACUUAUUGAAAGGACUAUGAUAGAUCCCCUAUACUUGUGGGUCAUCAUUAGCUAAGCUGAAAGAAAAGUCUUUGAAUACUAGAAUGCAAUAAGACCCUGCUUUUGCUUUACUGAUAAGGAUUAUGAAUUCUUUGUCAAUCCUAGUGAAUUACUUUGGUUGAAUCUGAUCCUUUCUAUGGCUAUGAAUCUGAAACUGUUGUGGCACAUCUUACUAAACAAAAUGAUAUAGCCACCCUAUUUACUCAUGAGGAAAAAAUUCGCUAUUACUAUAUCAUUAAAUUGUUUCCUUUCUCAUUAAAGGGUGAUGAUAAAAUAUAGUUUAAUUCUCUUACUCCUGGUUGUGUGCGUAGUCCACAGGAUAUGAUUUAUUACUUUUUUGCAAAAUAUUUCCCUGCUCAUAAGAAACAAGCUGCCUUGCGGGAAAUAUUUAAUUUUGUGCAAAUUGAAGAAGAGAGUCUCCCACAAGCUUGGGGGAGGCUUCUCCGAUUACUUAAUGCUUUGCCUGAUCAUCCUCUCAGGAAAAAUGAAAUACUUGAUAUCUUUUAUAAUGGACUAAUCGAUGCUUCCAGAGACCACCUGGAUAGUUGUGCUGGUUGUGUUUUUAGGGAAAGAACUGUUGGGCAAGUUGAAUUGCUAUUGAGUAAUAUAUUGAGUAAUGAUACUGAUUGGAAAUUUCCUGAACCAACUCCUAAGCCAACUCCAAAGAAAAGGGGUAUUCUAUUUCUCAGUCCUGAAGAUAUGCAAGAGGCAAAGAAAUCUAUGAAAGAAAAAGGUAUUAACGUUGGAGAUGUUAAGAAUUUACCACCUAUUGAAGAAAUACUGUUGGGGAACGUAGCAGAAAUUCAAAAUUUUCCUACGCGUCACCAAGAUCUAUCUAUGGAGAGACUAGCAACGAGGGGAAGGAGAGUGCAUCUACAUACCCUUGUAGAUCGCUAAGCGGAAGCGUUCAAGUGAACGGGGGUGAUGGAGUCGUACUCGUAGUGAUUCAGAUCACCGAUGAUCCUAGUGCCGAACGGACGGCACCUCCGCGUUCAACACACGUACAGCUCGACGAUGUCUCCCACGCCUUGAUCCAGCAAGGAGAGAGGGAGAGGUUGAGGAAGACUCCAUCCAGCAGCAGCACAACGGCGUGGUGGUGAUGGAGGAGCGUGGCAAUCCUGCAGGGCUUCGCCAAGCACCUACGGGAGAGGAGGAGGUGUCACGGGAGGGAGGGAGGCGCCAGGGGCUCAGGUAUCGAUGCCCUCCCUCCCCUCCACUAUAUAUAGGGGCAGGGGAGAGGGGGGAGGCGCAGCCUUGCCCCUUCCUCCAAGGAAGGGGUGCGGCUAAGAGGGGGAAAGGAGUCCAUCCUCCCCAAGGCACCUCGGAGGUGCCUUCCCCCUUUAGGACUCUCCCCUUUUUCCUAUAUCUUGGCGCAUGGGCCUCUAGGGGCUGCUGCCCUUGGCCCAUGUAGGCCAAGGCACACCCCCUACAGCCCAUGUGGCCCCCCGGGGCAGGUGGCCCCACCCGGUGGGCCCCCGGGACCCUUCCGGUGGUCCCGGUACAAUAUCGAUGACCCCGAAACUUGUCCCGAUGGCCGAAACAGGACUUCCUAUAUAUAAAUCUUUACCUCCGGACCAUUCCGGAACUCCUCAUGACGUCCGGGAUCUCAUCCGGGACUCCGAACAACAUUCGGUAACCACAUACAAACUUCCUUUAUAACCCUAGCGUCAUCGAACCUUAAGUGUGUAGACCCUACGGGUUCGGGAGACAUGCAGACAUGACCGAGAUGUUCUCCGGUCAAUAACCAACAGCGGGAUCUGGAUACCCAUGUUGGCUCCCACAUGUUCCACGAUGAUCUCAUUGGAUGAACCACGAUGUCAUGGACUCAAUCGAUCCCGUAUACAAUUCCCUUUGUCUAGCGGUAUGGUACUUGCCCGAGAUUCGAUCGUCGAUAUACCGAUACCUUGUUCAAUCUCGUUACCGGCAAGUCUCUUUACUCGUUCCGUAACACAUCAUCCCGUGAUCAACCCCUUGGUCACAUUGUGCACAUUAUGAUGAUGUCCUACCGAGUGGGCCCAGAGAUACCUCUCCGUUUACCGUUUACACGGAGUGACAAAUCCCAAUCUCGAUUCGUGCUAACCCAACAGACACUUUCAGAGAUACCCGUAGUGUACCUUUAUAGCCACCCAGUUACGUUGUGACGUUUGGCACACCCAAAGCACUCCUAUGGUAUCCGGGAGUUGCACAAUCUCAUGGUCUAAGGAAAUGAUACUUGACAUUAGAAAAGCUUUAGCAUACGAACUACAUGAUCUUGUGCUAGGCUUAGGAUUGGGUCUUGUCCAUCACAUCAUUCUCCUAAUGAUGUGAUCCCGUUAUCAACGACAUCCAAUGUCCAUGGUCAGGAAACCGUAACCAUCUAUUGAUUAACGAGCUAGUCAACUAGAGGCUUACUAGGGACAUGGUGUUGUCUAUGUAUCCACACAUGUAUCUGAGUUUCCUAUCAAUACAAUUCUAGCAUGGAUAAUAAACGAUUAUCAUGAACAAGGAAAUAUAAUAAUAAUCAAUUUAUUAUUGCCUCUAGGGCAUAUUUCCAACAGUCUCCCACUUGCACUAGAGUCAAUAAUCUAGUUCACAUCGAUAUGUGAUUAACACUCAAGAUCACAUCCCCAUGUGACUAACACCCAAAGAGUUUACUAGAGUCAAUAAUCUAGUUCACAUUUACCAUGUGAUUAACACUCGAUGAGUUCUGGGUUUGAUCAUGUUAUGCUUGUGAGAGAGGUUAUAGUCAACGGGUCUGAACCUUUCAGAUCCGUGUGUGCUUUACAAAUCUCUAUGUCAUCUCCUAGAUGCAGCUACCACGUUCUAUUUGGAGCUAUUCCAAAUAACUGUUCUACUUGGAGCUAUUCUAAAUUGUUGCUCCAUUAUACGUAUCCGGUAUCUCUACUCAGAGCUAUCCGGAUAGGUGUUAAGCUUGCAUCGACGUAACCCUUUACAACGAACCCCUUUACCACCUCCAUAAUCGAGAAAAUUCCUUAGUCCACUAGUUACUAAGGAUAACUUUGACCGCUGUCCCGUGAUCCAUUCUUGGAUCACUCUUGUACCCCUUGACUGACUCAUGGCAAGGCACACUUCAGGUGCGGUACACAGCAUAGCAUACUGUAGAGCCUACGUCUUAUGCAUAGGGGACGACCUUAGUCCUUUCUCUCUAUUCUGCCAUGGUCGAGCUUUAAGUCUUAACUUCAUACCUUACAACUCAGGUAAGAACUCCUUCUUUGACUGAUCCAUCUUGAACACCUUCAAGAUCAUGUCAAGGUAUGUGCUCAUUUGAAAGUACCAUUAAGCGUUUUAAUCUAUCCUUAUAGAUCUUGAUGCUCAAUGCUCAAGCAGCUUAAUCCAGGCUUUUCCAUUGAAAAAUACUUUCCAAAUAACCCUUUAUGCUUUCCAGAAAUUCUACGUCAUUUCCGAUCAUUAAUAUGUCAACAACAUAUACUCAUCAGAAAUUCUAUAGUGCUCCCACUCACUUCUUUGGAAAUACAAGUUUCUCAUAAACUUUGUAUACACCCAAAAUCUUUGAUCAUCAUCAAAACAUACAUUCCAACUCCGAGAUGCUCACUCUAGUCCUCAGAAGGAUUGCUAGAGCUUUGCAUACUUAUUAGCAUAUUUCAGGAUGGACAAAACCUUCCGGUUGUAUCACAUACAACCUUUCCUCAAAAAUCGUCGAGGAAACAAUGUUUUGACAUCCUAUCUGCAAGAUUUCAUAAAUAAUGCAGUAAUUGCUAAUAUAAUUCCAACAGACUCUUAGCAUCGCUACGAGUGAGAAAGUCUCAUCGUAGUCAACUCCUUGAACUUGUCGAAAAACAUCUUAACGACAAGUCGAGCUUUCUCAAUGGUGACACUUACCAUCAUUGUUUGUCUUCCUUUCAAAAUCCAUCUGCACUCAACAGCCUUACGACCAUCGAGUUGUUCUGCCAAAGUCUACACUUUGUUUUCAUACAUGGAUCCUAUCUCGGAUUUUAUGGCUUCUAACCAUUUGUCGGAAUUUGGGCCCACCAUCGCUUCUCCAUAGCUCGUAGGUUCAUUGUUGUCUAGCAACAUGACCUUCAAGACAGGAUUACUGUACCACUCUGAAGUAGUACGUAUCCUUGUCACCCUACGAGGUUCGGUAGUGACUUGAUCCGAAACUUCAUGAUCACUAUCAUAAGCUUCCACUUCAAUUGGUGUAGGUGCCACAAGAACAACUUCCUGUGCCCUGCUACACACUUGUUGAAGUGACGGUUCAAUAACCUCAUCAAGUCUCCACCAUCCUCCCACUCAAUUCUUUCGAGAGAAACUUUUCCUCGAGAAAGGACCCGAUUCUAGAAACAAUCCCUUAUUGCUUUCGAAUCUGAGACAGGAGGUAUACCCAACUGUUUUGGGUGUCCUAUGAAGAUGCAUUUAUCCGCUUUGGGUUCGAGCUUAUCAGCCUGAAACCUUUCCACAUAAGCAUCGCAGCCCCAAACUUCUAAGAAAUGACAGCUUAGGUUUCUCUAAACCAUAAUUCAUACGGUGUCAUCUCAACGGAAUUAUGUGGUGCCCUAUUUAAAGUGAAUUUGGUUGUCUCUAAUGCCUAACCCAUGAACGAUAGUGGUAAUUCGAUAAGAGACAUCAUGGUACGCACCAUAUCCAAUAGGGUGCAACUAUGAUGUUCGGACACACCAUCACACUAUGGUGUUCUAGGCGGUAUUAAUUGCGAAACAAUUUCCACAAUGUCUUAAUUGUGUGCCAAAACUCGUAACUCAGAUAUUCAUCUCUAUGAUCAUAUCAUAGACAUUUUAUCCUCUUGUCACAAUGAUCUUCUACUUCACUCUGAAAUUAUUUGAACCAUUCAAUAAUUCAGACUUGUGUUUCAUCAAGUAAAUAUUCUCAACAUCUACUCGAAUCAUCUGUGAAGUAAGAACAUAACGAUAUUCACUGCAUGCCUCAGCACUCAUUGGACUGCACACAUCAAAAUGUGUUACUUCCAACAAGUUGCUAUCUUGUUCCAUCUUACUGAAAACGAGGCUUUUCAGUCAUCUUGCCCAUGUGGUAUGAUUUGCAUGUCCCAAGUGAUUCAAAAUCAAGUGAGUCAAAAUGGUCCAUUUGCAUGGAGUUUCUUCAUGCAUAUACACCAAUAGACAUGGUUCGCAUGUCUCAAACUUUUCAAAAACGAGUGAGCCCAAAGAUCCACCAAUAUGGAGCUUCUUCAUGCGUUUUAUACCGAUAUGACUUACGUGGCAGUGCCACAAGUAGGUGGUACUAUCAUUACUAUCUUUUGGCAUGAACAUGUGUAUCACUACGAUCGAGAUUUAAUAAACCAUUCAUUUUAGGUGUAAGACCAUUGAAGGUAUUAUUCAAAUAAACAGAGUAACCAUUAUUCUCCUUAAAUGAAUAACCGUAUUGCGAUAGACGUAAUCCAAUCAUGUCUAUGCUCAACGCAAACACCAAAUAACAAUUAUUUAGGUUUAACACCAAUCUCUUUGGUAGAGGGAGCGUCCGAUGCUUGAUCAUAUCAAGCUUGGAAAAACUUCCAACACAUAUCGUCAGCUCACCUUUAGCUAGUCUCCGUUUAUUCCGUAGCCUUUUGUUUCGAGUUACUAACACUUAGCAACCGAACCGGUAUCUAAUACCCUGGUGCUACUAGGAGUACUAGCAAAGUACACAUUAACACAAUGUAUAUCCAAUAUACUUCUAUCGACCUUGCCAGCCUUCUUAUCUACCAAGUAUCUAGGGUAAUUCUGCUCUAGUGGUUGUUCCCCUUAUUACAGAAGCACUUAGUCUCGGGUUUGGGUUUUACCUUGGGUUUCUUCACUAGAGCAGCAGCUGAUUUGCCGUUUCAUGAAGUAUCCCUUCUUGCCCUUGCCCUUCUUGAAACUAGUGGUUUCACCAACCAUCAACAAUUGAUGCUCCUUCUUGAUUUCUACUUUCGCGGUGUCAAACAUUGCGAAUACCUCAAGGAUCAUCAUAUCUAUCCCUGAUAUGUUAUAGUUCAUCACGAAGCUCUAACAGCUUGGUGGCAAUGACUUUGGAGAACCAUCACUGUCUUAUCUGGAAGAUCAACUCCCACUCGAUUCAAAUGAUUGUUGUACUCAGACAAUCUGAGCACAAGCACAACAAUUGAGCUUUUCUCCUUAGUUUGCAGGUUAAGAAAGUCAUCGGAGGUCUUAUACCUCUUGACAUGGGCACGAGCCUGAAAUCCCAAUUUCAGCCCUCAAAACAUCUCAUAUGUUUCGCGAUGUUUCAAAAACGUCUUUUGUGCCUCAACUCUAAACCGUUUAACUGAACUAUCACAUAGUUAUCAAAACGUGUAUGUCAGAUGUUCGCAACAACCAUAGACAACGUUCGAGGUUCAGCACACUGAGCGGUGCAUUAAGGACAUAAGCCUUCUAUGAAGCAAUGAGGACAAUCCUCAGUUUACGGACCUAGUCCGCAUAAUUGCUACUAUCAACUUUCAACUAAUUUUUCUCUAGGAACAUAUCUAAACAGUAGAACUAUAGCGUGAGCUACGACAUAAUUUGCAAAAACCUUUUGACUAUGUUCAGGAUAAUUAAGUUCAUCUUAUGAACUCCCACUCAGAUAGACAUCCCUCUAGUCAUCUAAGUGAUUACAUGAUCCGAGUCAAACUAGGCCGUGUCCGAUCAUCACGUGAGACGGACUAGUCAUCAUCGGUGAACAUCUUCAUGUUGAUCGUAUCUUCUAUACGACUCAUGUUCGACCUUUCGGUCUCCGUGUUCCGAGGCCAUGUCUGUACAUGCUAGGCUCGUCAAGUUAACCCUAAGUGUUUCGCGUGUGUAAAGCUGUCUUACACCCGUUGUAUGUGAACGUUAGAAUCUAACACCCGAUCAUCACGUGGUGCUUCGAAACACGAACUGUCGCAACGGUGCACAGUUAGGGGAGAACACUUCUUGAAAUUGUUGUAAGGGAUCAUCUUAUUUACUACCGUCGUUCUAAGCAAAUAAGAUGUAUAAACAUGAUAAACAUCACAUGCAAUCAAAUAGUGACAUGAUAUGGCCAUCAUCACUUUGCUCCUUUUGAUCUCCAUCUUCGGGGCUCCAUGAUCAUCAUCGUCACCGGCAUGACACCAUGAUCUCCAUCAUCAUGAUCUCCAUCAUCGUGUCUUCAUGAAGUUGCCUCGCCAACUAUUACUUCUACUACUAUGACUAACGGUUAGCAAUAAAGUAAAGUAAUUACAUGACGUUUUAAGUUGACACGCAGGUCACAAAUAAAUAAAGACAACUCCUAUGGCUCCUGCCGGUUGUCAUACUCAUCGACAUGCAAGUCGUGAUUCCUAUUACAAGAACAUGAUCAAUCUCAUACAUCACAUAUAUCAUUCAUCACAUCCUUUGGCCAUAUCACAUCACAUAGCAUACCCUGCAAAAACAAGUUAUACGUCCUCUAAUUGUUGUUUGCAUGUUUUACGUGGCUGCUAUGGGUUUCUAGCAAGAACGUUUCUUACCUACGCAUGAACCACAAAGUGAUAUGCCAAUUGCUAUUUACCCUUCAUAAGGACCCUUUUCAUCGAAUCCGAUCCGACUAAAGUGGGAGAGACAGACACCCGCCAGCCACCUUAUGCAACUAGUGCAUGUUUGUCGGUGGAACCGGUCUCACGUAAGCGUACGUGUAAGGUUGGUCCGGGCCGCUUCAUCCCACGAUGCCGCCGAAUCAAGAUAAGACUAGUAACGGCAAGCAUAUUGAACAAUAUCGACGCCCACAACUACUUUGUGUUCUACUCGUGCAAAGAAUCUAUGCAAUAGACCUAGCUCAUGAUGCCACUGUUGGGGAACAUAGCAGAAAUUCAAAAUUUUCCUACGCAUCACCAAGAUCUAUCUAUGGAGAGACUAGCAACAAGGGGAAGGAGAGUGCAUCUACAUACCCUUGUAGAUCGCUAAGCGGAAGCGUUCAAGUGAACGGGGUUGAUGGAGUCGUACUCGUCGUGAUUCAGAUCACCGAUGAUCCUAGUGCCGAACGGACGGCACCUCCGCGUUCAACACACGUACAGCUCGACGAUGUCUCCCACGCCUUGAUCCAGCAAGGAGAGAGGGAGAGGUUGAGGAAGACUCCAUCCAGUAGCAGCACAACGGCGUGGUGGUGAUGGAGGAGCGUGGCAAUCCUGCAGGGCUUCGCCAAGCACCUACGGGAGAGGAGGAGGUGUCACGGGAGGGAGGGAGGCGCCAGGGGCUCAGGUAUGGAUGCCCUCCCUCCCCUCCACUAUAUAUAGGGGCAGGGGAGAGGGGGGAGGCGCAGCCUUGCCCCUUCCUCCAAGGAAGGGGUGCGGCUAAGAGGGGGAAAGGAGUCCAUCCUCCCCAAGGCACCUCGGAGGUGCCUUCCCCCUUUAGGACUCUCCCCUUUUUCCUAUAUCUUGGCGCAUGGGCCUCUAGGGGCUGCUGCCCUUGGCCCAUGUAGGCCAAGGCGCACCCCCUACAGCCCAUGUGACCCCCCGAGGCAGGUGGCCCCACCCGGUGGGCCCCCGGGACCCUUCCGGUGGUCCCGGUACAAUAUCGAUGACCCCGAAACUUGUCCCGAUGGCCGAAACAGGACUUCCUAUAUAUAAAUCUUUACCUCCGGACCAUUCCGGAACUCCUCGUGACGUCCGGGAUCUCAUCCGGGACUCUGAACAACAUUCGGUAACCACAUACAAACUUCCUUUAUAACCCUAGCGUCAUCGAACCUUAAGUGUGUAGACCCUACGGGUUCGGGAGACAUGCAGACAUGACCGAGAUGUUCUCCGGUCAAUAACCAACAGCGGGAUCUGGAUACCCAUGUUGGCUCCCACAUGUUCCACGAUGAUCUCAUCGGAUGAACCAUGAUGUCAAGGACUCAAUCGAUCCCGUAUACAAUUCCCUUUGUCUAGCGGUAUGGUACUUGCCCGAGAUUUGAUCAUCGGUAUACCGAUACCUUGUUCAAUCUCGUUACCGGCAAGUCUCUUUACUCGUUCCGUAACACAUCAUCCCGUGAUCAACCCCUUGGUCACAUUGUGCACAUUAUGAUGAUGUCCUACCGAGUGGGCCCAGAGAUACCUCUCCGUUUACACGGAGUGACAAAUCCCAAUCUCGAUUCGUGUCAACCCAACAGACACUUUCAGAGAUACCCGUAGUGUACCUUUAUAGCCACCCAGUUACGUUGUGACGUUUGGCACACCCAAAGCACUCCUACGGUAUCCGGGAGUUGCACAAUCUCAUGGUCUAAGGAAAUGAUACUUGACAUUAGAAAAGCUUUAGCAUACGAACUACAUGAUCUUGUGCUAGGCUUAGGAUUGGGUCUUGUCCAUCACAUCAUUCUCCUAAUGAUGUGAUCCCGUUAUCAACGACAUCCAAUGUCCAUGGUCAGGAAACCGUAACCAUCUAUUGAUUAACGAGCUAGUCAACUAGAGGCUUACUAGGGACAUGGUGUUGUCUAUGUAUCCACACAUGUAUCUGAGUUUCCUAUCAAUACAAUUCUAGCAUGGAUAAUAAACGAUUAUCAUGAACAAGGAAAUAUAAUAAUAAUCAAUUUAUUAUUGCCUCUAGGGCAUAUUUCCAACAAAUACAUGGUCUUGAUAACCUGACACGGGUAGUAAAGGUAAAUUCUCUCUAUAGAUUUUAUAAGGGUGAAAUCCCAUCUACUAAGUUUGCUAGUCAAUGCUUGGAUGAGUUUGAUAAUUUUAUUGUUAAGCAAGAAGACUUCAAUGCUUAUUUUGAUAGACAAUUGAAACGUAGUGCUUAUAUGGUUGAACACUUGAGUGAUUAUAUGUCUAGAGUUAAGGGUGAUCUUAAGCUUAUUAGUAAACAUGCUUCCAUGGUUACCACUAAAAUAGAACAACUACGUAAGGCACAAGAUGAUUUGCUCAAUGAAUUAAAUAAUAAGAAUAAUGAUAAUGUUGUUAGAGUUAUGACUAGAGGUGGUAAGAUGACCGCGGAACCUUUGUAUCCUGAGGGCCAUCCUAAGAGAGUUGAGCAAGAUUCUCAGAGAACUAAUAUAGAUGCACCUAGUCCUUUUAAGAAAAAUAAAAAGAAUAAGGAUAGGACUUUGCAAGCUUCUAGUGAACCUGUCGUUGACACACCUGAGAAUCCCAAUGAUAUUUCUAUUUCUCAUGCUGAAACACAAUCUGGUGAUGAACAUGAACCUAGUGAUAAUGUUAAUGAUGAUGUUCAUAUUGAUGCUCAACCUAGCAAUAACAAUGAUGUAGAGAUCGAACCCGCUAUUGAUCUUGAUAACCCACAAUCAAAGAAUCAACGUUAUGAUAAGAGAGACUUCGUUGCUAGGAAGCACGGUAAAGAAAGAGAACCAUGGGUUCAGAAACCCAUGCAUUUUCCUCCUAAGCCAUCCAAGAAAAAGGAUGAUGAGGAUUUUGAGCACUUUGCUGAAAUGAUUAGACCUAUCUUUUUGCAUAUGUGUUUGACUGAUAUGCUUAAAAUGAAUCCCUAUGCUAAGUAUAUGCAAGAUAUUGUUACAAAUAAAAGAAAAAUACUGGAAGCUGAAAUUUCCACCAUGCUUGCCAACUAUACUUUUAAGGGUGGAAUACCAAAGAAACUAGGAGAUCCAGGAGUACCAACUAUACCAUGCUCCAUUAAAAGAAACUAUGUUAAAACUGCUUUAUGUGAUCUUGGAGCCGGUGUUAGUGUUAUACCUUUCUCUUUGUAUCGUAGACUUGAGUUGAAUAAGUUGGCACCUACUGAAAUCUCUUUGCAAAUGGCCGAUAAAUCAACUGCUAUACCCAUCGGUAUUUGUGAGGAUGUGCCUGUUGUGGUUGCAAACGUUACUAUCUUAACGGACUUUGUUAUUCUUGAUAUUCUCGAGGACGACAGUAUGUCGAUCAUCCUUGGUAGACCCUUUUUGAAUACUGCAGGGGCUGUUAUUGAUUGCAACAAAGGCAAUGUCACUUUUCAUGUUAAUGGUAAUGAGAAUACGGUACACUUUCCGAAGAAACAACCUCAAGUUCAUAGUAUCAAUUCUAUUGAGAAAAUUCCAACUAUUACCAUUGGAGGUUUUGAAUUCCCUCUUCCUACUGUCAAGAAGAAAUAUGAUAUUCUUAUUGUUGGGGAUAUGCGUAUCCCCGUUGAGGUAACAUAGUGUUAUUAGAAAAUUCUCCGGUUUCAUGUUAUUCGGAAGAAGUUUGUUAACAAGACUUGAUCAACCUUGUUAGUGGAUUCCUUUUGAUGAGCAUGAGAUGGAUGAAGUUAGAAAGCACAACUCUCUAUACCCUCCUUUUACUUUAUGUUAUUUAGUUUAAAUAAAACAAAAUAGUAUUUUCUGUCUAUUUUCUGAAUUAUCCAUGCAAUAAAAAAUACCCCAAAAAUAAAAGUUCUCCAAAUGCCCUGAAAAUUGAGUAUGAUUUUUUUGUAGAAUAUUUGAGAAUUUCUGGCACUUAGAACACACCAGGGGGACCCACCAUUUGGUCACGAGGGAGGAGGGCGCACCCUACCCCCCUGGGCGCGCCCUACCCCCUAGGCGCACCCCUGCCUCGUGGGCCCCACAUGCCCCCCUCCACUUAUUCUAGUACCCACACAGUUCGUCUUCCUCCAGAAAAAAUCACCCUGUAGCUCAAACCCGUGUUCUUGCUUGUUUUGCUGCCAUUUUCGAUCUCCUUGCUCAAAGCUCCAUUAACAAAACUGCUUUGGGGGAUUGUUCUUCGGUAUGUGACUCCUCCAAUGGUCUAAUUAGUUUUUGUUCUAGUGCUUUAUUUAUUACAAAUUUUUGCUGCUAAGGUGACCCUCUUCUUGAGCUUGCAUGUCAAAUUUAUAUGGUCCAAAUUAAUUUUAAUGCAUGAUAUAGCCUCUAGGAACUUGUAGGAGUAGUUUCUAUCAAUCUUGUUGAGUAUGGUUCACUUUUAUUUUGAGUCACUAAAAUUUCAGAAAUUUUUCAGAGGAAGAAAAAUGUUCAGGAAAAUGUACGAAGGUGGUUCUUCAAGGAGGCAAGCACCAAGGCUUGCGAUACGUGAGCCGGAUCUUGAACCACGAAGAGAAGCUCCAGUGCGGCCUUGCGAAUGGCCAUCAGAUGAAUUUAUGAUCCAAGCUGGCUUCAAGGAUGAAUUUGAUGAGUAUGUGCGUAAUGCUAAUCUUGAUGACUUGGUAUCAGAUAAGUGCCUCCAAUACUAUCACCUGAUUCCCUUGUGCGGAGGUUUAACUUUUCAUCUAAGUGCAACACUCACACUGUUAUAUUUGACCUAUAUGAUAAAUCAUAUACAAUGGACCUUGAAGAUUUUAACACUGCUUGUAAAAUCCCAUAGUGGGGCAUCUUUAGUGAACCUCGCAAAUCUGAAUAUAAUGAUUUCCUUGCUAGCAUCACUAUGAGAGAAACUAGAGAUAUCACACAAGCUAUCAUAGGGAGCAUUCAUUUCCCUUCCUUACAUUACUUUGCUCUCUUUAUAAGUAGAUGCAUUAACGGAAGGAUGAGAUUUUCCGCAUUUGUGUCCCAGAUCUUAGUGUCCUCAAGAGUGCGGUGCUAGGUGAUAAACGAUAUAACUUGGGGCCCAUUGUUGCACGGAGGUUACAUCUUAAUGCUAAAAAUGGAGAUUUAUUUGGUGGAAUAUCCCAGUACAACCCCGACUACAACUUUGGUUAUCCGCCAGGCCAGCCAUGGGCAUAGACCAACUUAGGCCAAAAGCCUAAGCUUGGGGGAGUACGUAUUUCUCACCGACAUUACAUUCAUGUUCACACACUCAUUCUAGCUGUCGGUGCUCAUACUUUUUCAUUGUACUAUCCAUGCUAGUUUAUUUUCUAUUCUUGCUUUCUUCUUGUGUGUUUGAAAACCCUUGAGAAAAAACCAAAAAAAAUUAGUUGUAGCUUUUAGCUAGUUUACUUUCCAUGCUUGUAGUAGUAAUAUUAAACAAGAAACCCAAAAAGAUUUCCCGUUCUUCUUUUGCUUGUUGGGAGCUUUCCCAUGUGAAUAGUAUUUCUCUUUCUUUUAAAUUCUUUUCUUUUCUUUGGGGGUCGAGAGGAGAAGACCAUGAUGAAAAUGAUGAGUUGCUCUCAUAUGCAUUAUAGUUGAUCUAACCAAGAGCACAUAUUACCUUGUCUUCUCCUUUGAAUUAAAUGUUUGCCGAUUCCAGCUUAGUACAAUGCACGUGCACUAUUAUUAUUAUCCACACCGUUCGGUCGUGCAAGUGAAAGGCAAUAAUGACGAUAUAUGAUGAAAUGAUUGAGACAUGGAAAAGCUGGUAUGAACUCGACCUAUCUUGUUUUUGUAAAUAUGAUUAGUUCAUCGUUCCUGAUUCAACCUAUUAUGAAUGAAACAUGGUUGCAAUGACCAUUAGAGAUUACAGUUACUCAUGCCAUGCUUAAUUAGCUAGGAGUUUAUAAUGGUUUACCUUGCGUGCCAACAUGCUAUUAAAAUGGUUGUGAUGUAGUAUGAUAGGGUGGUAUCCUCCUUUGAAUGAUUCGAGUGGCUUGAAUUGCCACAUGUUCACACAUGUAGUUGAAACAAAAUCAACAUAGCCUCCACGAUAUUUAUGUUCAUGGUGAUUUAUAUCCUACUCAUGCUCUCACUCAUUGUUGGUUAAUCUUAAUGCAUGUUUAUUUGAAAGUGCAACUAUCCCUAGGUGGUUUUGGUAAUUCCUAACAACAUAUAGCUCAUUGAGCUAAUGCUAUUUCAAGAUAAAUAUUUCAGGAAAAUCUCAAUGAAUGGCAUGGCAUGGAUGAGAAAAGUGGACCCCUCAAAAUACUAAGGAUAAAAGGAUUGGCUCAAGCUCAAAGCUCAAGACUCUACAUUUUAUAUUUUAGUGAUCCAAGAUCACAUUGAGUCUAUAGGAAAAGCCAAUACUAUCAAGGAGGGAUGAGGUGUUGCUUAAUGAGGUUCUUUCUCCAUAGUGCUUAGUGAUAUGCUCCAAAACCCUCAACUACUUUCUCACAUCCACAUUUGACCUAAACCAAAAGUCAAACUCGGCCCUACCGAUUCUUUCUAUCCGGCGCCACCGAGUUCAGAUGUCAUAGCCACUGCCACAAACCCUAGGCAAAUCAGUCUCACUGAUAGGGAUCUCGGUCUCACCGGGAUGGGAUUAUAAUCUCUCUGUUUCCCUUUGUAACGUUUCGGUACCACCGAGAUGAGCGAUUGGUCCCACCGAGAUUGCAAUGUAAACUCCUUGUUUCCUUUCCGUAACAUUUCGGUCCCACCGAAAUGAGCGAACCGGUCUCACCGAGUUUACCUGACCAACUCUCUGGUUAGCUUAUUACCAAAAUCGGUCCCACCGAGUUUGUGUAAUCGGUCUCAGCUAGAUUAUGUUAUGCCCUAACCCUAACCAUAUCGGUCCUACCGAGUUGCAUGUCGGUCCCACCGAAAAUGCUAACGGUCACUAGAUUUGCUGAAUCGGUCUGACCCAGUUUCUCAAUUCGGUCUCACCGAGUUUGGUAAGUUGUGUGUAAUGGUUAGAUUUUGUGUGGAGGCUAUAUAUACCCCUCCAACUCCUCUUCAUUCAUGGAGAGAGCCAUCAGAACGAACCUACACUUCACUACAAAAAAAACACUUCCGUGAUGAUACAUGUUUGUCACAGUAGGUCGCGUUUUUUGUCAUGCAUGUACAUCCAUGACAAAUUUAUGACAGAAUCAAGAUAGUCAUACCUGUGCUGUCAUAGAAGUGUUCCAUGACAUUACCAAAAUUAUCAUCACGGAAGUGUCCACUUCCUUGACGAUAAAUCGCGCGUCACAGAAGUGCUUUCGUCAAGGGUGACCGGCACGUGGCAUCCACCGUAACGGAACGCCGUUAAGCUAUCGGGUCGGAUUUUGGAUCCGAUAACCCGUUAACAUCCACGACCAAUGCCGAUUUUCCAUGUGUAAAAUUCUCAUUGGCUAACGGAUCCACGUGUCAGCUCCGCGUUGGCACAGGUGUCACCCAUCCAACGGUCGAGAUGGGCUUAUGAUAUGUUGACACGUGGACCGGCCCAAAAGUGGCCCACAAAGUUUAAAUGGGCCGGCCCAACCAAAGGCCCAUAAGAUUUAGCGGACCAUAAUGGGCCGGCCCAGCAAAAGGCCCACAAAAUUUAGCGGACCAUAAUGGGCCGGCCCAGCUAAAGGCCCACAAGAUUUUGCAGACCACAAUGGGCCGGCCCAGCUAAAGGCCCACAAGAUUCUGCAGACCAUAAUGGGUCGGCCCAGCUAAAGGCCCAACAUGCUGUGUCAAAUCGGCCCGUCAAUGGCUUGGUCUAAACUUGUCAUCAAUGCGGCCCAUGGUCACUUCUGGCCCGUUAACAGUCCGCUAAGUAAUUGGGCCGAAUUACGGCCUGGUGUAUUUCCGGCCUGUUAAAGGUCCGGCUUCAUUUGGGCCCAUUUACAGGCCAUCAAAACUUUCGGCCCAUAAACGACCGUGAAGGAUUUGGGUCGUAUUCGGCCAUGUCUAUCAUUCGGCCUGUUAGAGGCCCACUAUAGAUUUGGGCCACUUUCGGCCUGUUGUCAUUUUCGGCCCGUUAACGCCGGACGUAAACCAUGGGACAUAUGUGGCCCAACGUCAUAUCGGGCCCAUUAACGGCCCAUAUAAAAAAGACGAUAAUCUAGCCCGACCGAAGUUCUGGCCUGUUAAAGGCCCAUGUAUUAGGUCGGCGCAUUUACGGCCCGUCCGAAUUUCGGCCUGUCAAAUAUCCCCAUCGUAAAUGGGCCACCAUUUCGGCCUGCUAAGUCCAGUGGGUUAUUUGGCACAAUCAGGGCCCAAUCUCACUUUCGGUCUAUUAAAGGCCCAUGUUUUUAUGGGCUCGAGAUAUUUACACCUGUAAGUGUCCUACUUUUACUGAGGGCCCAAAUUAUGUUUAGGCCUGUUAAAGGCCCACUAUGGGCAUAGGCCUACCGGAAAAAUUUGAAAGCUUAUGCUAAUUUAAGCCCACAUAUUUUUAGUGGGCUACAUGCCAAUUUCGGCCUGUAAUCGUUUUUAGCCCAAUUGGAAUGGGCCCGACGAAUGUUGGCAUGUUGGGCUCCUACGAAGCUUUCGUCCGAAUACAUUACUAAGAUAAACCUACACUAUACAAAAAUAGCGUCAUAAUUACUACAGCCUGUGGCAGCAUCAUAAAUGUUGUAUCACAACAAAAUAAAUUCCAAUCAUACAACAAAAGGCCUAUUGGCAUAAAGUUUACAGUCCUUCCAGAUAAAAGCACCAUCAGAUGUAUAGAAGCACAUAUCAUUUAACCUGAGUGCUAAUGUUUCAGGCUGUAGAAUCUGAUGGAGCAGCAUGAUCUCCACCUAUUUUCCGCCAUUGCUCUUCAACAACGAAGCGAAUGUCUGAUAGUCUGGUUUCAAAACCAUUCAUAUCUUGACGGCAUUUCUCAACCACUAUUCUUGUUUCCGAAACAACGUCCAUUAGGGAUUGGACUUGUGUCUGGAGCACAGAUAUAUCACUCUGUCUAGCAGGAAGAUUUUGUUCAGUAGGCGAUUUGGACGACGUUACCUUGACAACCAACCCAGAAUUACGUAGGAAGGUGCUUUUUGCACUGUUAAUGGAGAGAUACUGACGCACUGCAGCAAGAGGUGACAUUGUGCCUAUAGUAGCCUCGUCACCUUCAGGUGGUUGUGGCUGUUCAAUCAUUUGUUCCAUAGCUUCCUGAAAGUUUGAACUUGUAGAUUAGUGUACCAGUGAGUUACUAAUGAGACAAAAACAAACAAAGUAGGUUAAACGUUUAUACAUAACUUAUUUUGGUGAACUACUGUAAUACAUUAGCAUGUAUUGUAGUGCCAACUAUAUAAUAAAAUCACUUUCGGAACAUAUGUCCAUGUAGCAUGCCUACUGUAUUGUCUAUUUCCUCACAUUCGUUGACAUCUAAGGAUAAAGAGACAUGGUUUAAAGUAGGAUGAACAUAGUAUGACAUCAUUCAUAUCAUGGGCAAACAGAUAUAAAACAAACAGGCUAUUUUAUCAUUGUGUGCGCACAUGAACAUGACAACUAGAUUACAGAUCAAGACCAAAAGAAUAUCCUUCAUCUCUUUUAAACCAUGUAAGGUGAAAUGAUACGUUAAGACAACUGUGUAUAAAAGUGAACAGAGUAACUGACAUUGGCUGCAAACCAAGUAGUUAAAUAAACACAUCACAGUACCAAUCAGUUCAAGGCAGGAGGAGUAAGGACUUACAAUAGCGGCUUGAACUGGUGUGCUCAUGCCCUUCAUCUUGCUGGUGUGGCAAUCCUUGAAGAUUUGCACUGCAUUUGGUUCAGGUUCUUUUGGUCCGCACAGGCUUUCCGCUGUAUUUGGAACAAGUCAAUAUAGACACGAUAAUAUGGCACAAAAAAAGAAGGAAGUAACAGCUAUUUACAAGAGCCUCGCAGUGUGCAAUAUAGCUACGAGAUCAUGUUGUUUGUUGGAAUUUCACUUUAGAACGGUUGGUUUUGUUCUUCAAACAGUUAGCCUAGAAGAAGAUACACUUGUAAGGCACAUACAUAAAUACAAGUUCAAUAUGUGGUCUAAUAAAAUACAUAUAGCCUACCUGAUACUUUGGAUCAGACCAGUGUUUAACAAGGGAUGUCUAGUCUUCAUCUGUAAUAUAUUCCACUUGAGAUCUUUGGGAGAUUUCUUUGUUAGCCUUGCCUUCAAAGUGAGAUUUUCUAAGGUGGUACCGAUACUGUCGCAGAGCAGACUGAAAAACAUGAGUGCAUGCUUGUUUAGUUGCAUCAUCUUUCGGAUCCAACUUGAACCUCAUCUGUUGAAAAAAGAAUGUGAGUCUUAUUAGGAGGAAGCUAGAAAGUAUGGGACAGAGCAAGACAAUAUUACUAAUUGCGAUGAAUAACAUUACUUACGGAUAAAUGGUCAAGGAAGGUGUUAAACUGGGUAUUGUCUUUCUCAUUCCUAUACUGGAUCCACGUUGGGAGGAUACACGCAUGACACCUAACGGCAACGGCUGCCUCUGAUACUAACUUGGCUGACUCUGUAGCAUCACGUGGCCUUUUUAAACCUGCCUCAAAAUGGAUCUCCAUUCUCCCUCCUUUAGAUUUUGUUAAUCUGUCAAGCAUUAUCCCUGAUGUCUGUUUCCGCUUGCGCCGUGGUGCUAGUUCAACAACGAAUAUGGAAAGUGUUAGUGUACAUCAAACUGUGAGAGUACAUAUAAAGGAGCAUGCAACUGCAACUUGACUCGGUCAGGUACCGUAUUGGUGUUGAUGCUCAUGUGGUUCAUCUGAUCUUGCCAAGUCCUGUUGUGUCAGCAGUGCUUCGGAAGUAGUGUUAGGUGUGAAGGCAGCUUGGGAACUGGCCAGUUCCGGAGCAAACGAACGAGUAACUAGUUGAGAUGCUGGUACAGUUGAAGCAGAUGUUGCAGCUGGUGGAGCAGGUGAUACUGUGUUUGUAGAUUUAGCCGGUGGACUUGGACCUUCUACUGCACUAUAAGUACCAGCAGAAUCUCGACGGCAGAGCCUUUUCCGUUUCACCCGACGAGUAACAACACUCCCUACUAUAUUAUUUUCCUUGCUCUUUUUUGACUUUGCCAUGUCAAGCUGUACCCACAACACAAAAGAAUAAAAUCACUCUUCAGAACUCAUUGAUGCAUGAUACAGACAAGCAAUACUUUGAUGUAAGACAACCGUAUGAGGAUGGAAUAUGUAAGAAAAACAGGACAACAUGACAUAUUCACAACUACGAUGUGCAAACUAAGCAGAAGGAUUUUUAAGAAAAUAGAAGUAAUGCAAGCUAGACACCAUAUGAAAGAUGCAACCAAUAUUACUCUGCCAAGUUAAAAGUGUCUUGUCAUAAGUGGCAAUUCGAAAAAUUAGAAGCAGUACAACGUAGAAAUCAAUGCAAGAUGCAACCACUACUAUCAAACUGCCAUGUUAAAAGCUUCCAAUCAUGAGUUACUGAUGCGGGAUACACAACAUCAGUACUUUGAUGUAAGAACAUGGUAUGAUAGAUAGAUGCAGUGUAUUCUACACACAGAAAGCCAUGUCAUAUGCACAUGUAUAACAUAUAAACUCAGCAGGUGCAAUUUAAUCAAAAUAGAAGAAAUACAGGCUAGACAACAUAUGCAACAUGAAACCAAUUAUCACACUGUCAACUUAGAGCAAGAACCUGCUAUGGUGGAGUGCGGGAUAUGAACUCAUCAUGUAGACUUGGGACUUCAACUUCAUUAGCAGUAGCAGUGGCAAAUCUAGAGAGUCUCUGUUUGCGUCGGUGCGGAGUACCACCAACAUCCCCUAACUUACUCUUUUCCUUCCUAUUUUCUGAUAUUGCCUUAUGAAGGCAAAACCACAAGAAGAUGAAGAAAAUUAGCUCUGCAUAACUGGUUGAUGCAUGAUACAGACGAACACUACUUUGAUGUAAGGCAAGCGCAGGAGGAUGGAAUAUAUACAAAGAAAGACAGCGUUUCAUAUUCACACGUACGAUAGGAGGAUGGAAUAUGUAUGAAAAAACAGUAAGCAGAAGGCAUUUCAACAAAAUUAGAAGAAAUGAAAGCUAGGCACCAUAUGAACAUGCAACCAAUAUCACUCUAUCAGGUAAAAAGUGUCUCAUCGUGAGUGCCAUUUCAAGAAAUUAGAAGCAGUACAAGCUAGAAGACAAUGCAAGAUGCAACCUACAUCACAGUCCCAAGUUAAAUGUGUCUUAUGGGUAAGUGAUCAUUGCAGGUAUAAGUUGUAAGCUACGCAGAUUCAAUUCAACAUAAUUAGAAGCAAUACAAACUAGACAUCAUACGGAAAACGCAACCAUGUAUAACAGUUCCAAGUAAGAGCAAGCACCUGUGAUGGUGGAGUAGGGGAGAUGUGCUCAUCGUGUACACAUAUGUUCUAGAAACAGGAACACGUGUCAUAUUCAUAGGCAUUAUGUGUAAAGUAAGCAGAUGCAAUUCAAGUUAGAAGCAAUACAAGCUAGACAUCAUACGCAACAUGCAACCACAUAUAAUAGUGUCAAGUUAGAGCAAGCACCUGUGAUGGUGGAGUAGGGGAGAUGUGCUCAUCAUCUACAUAGCUACGUUGACUGUCUAGCCUUGUGUUGUCUUGCGAAUCUUGUUGGGAGGAUGGCGGAGUAGAAUCUGUAGAGACCCCCUGUUUGAGUUGCUCCGAAGGACCACCAUCAUCCACUGCCGGACUAAUUUCCUUCAGCUGUAAUGAUUUUGCAUUGUGAAGUCAAACCAAUAAGAAAAAGGAAUAAAAUUCGCUCUUCAGAACUCAUUCAUGCAUGAUACUGACGAACACUACUCGGAUGAAAGGCAAACACAUGAUGCGAGGAUGGAAUAUGUAUGAAAAACAGGAUGGUGUGACAUAUUCACACCUAUGAUGUGGUAACUAAGUAGAAGGCAUUUCAACAAAUUAGAAGCACUGCAAGCUAGACACCAUAUAAAAGAUGCAACCAAUAUCACUCUGCCAAGUUCAAACUGUAUGGCGUUUCAACAAAUUAGAAGCAGUAUAUGCUAGAAAUCAUAUGCAAGACACAACCAAUAUCACAGUGGUGACUUAAAGGUGCCUUAUCAUAAGUGACUGAUGCGGGAUAUGCAAGAAUAGUAGUCUGAUGUAGAAACAGGAACACAUGUCAUAUUCACAGGCAUUAUGUGUAAAGUAAGCAGAUGCAAUUCAACAAAGUUAGAAGCAAUACAAGCUAGACAUCAUACGCAACAUGGAACCACAUAUAAUAGUGCCAAGUUAGAGCAAUCACCUGUGAUGGUGGAGUAGGGGAGAUGUGCUCAUCAUCUACACAGCUACAUUGACUGUCUAGCCUUGCGUUGUCUUGCGAAUCUUGUUGGGAGGAUGGCGGAGUAGAAUCUGUAGAGAACCUCCGUUUCAGUUGCUCGGAAGGACCACCAUCAUCCAAUGCCUUGCCAAUUUCCUUCAGCUUUAUUGAUUUUGCAUUGUGAGGUCAUACCGACAAGAAAAAGGAAUAUCAUUCGCUCUUCAGAACUCAUUCAUGCAUGAUACUGAUGAACACUACUCUAAUGAAAGGCAAAGUCAUGAUACGAGGAUGGAAUAUCUACGAAAAAAUGGAUGGCUUGACAUAUUCACACCUAUGAUGUGGUAACUAAGCAGAAGGCACUUCAACAAAUUAGAAACACUGCAAGACACCAUAUGGAAGGUGCAAUCAAUAUCACUCUACCAAGUUAAAACUGUCUCGUCAUAGGUGGCGUUCAUCAAACUAGAAGCAAUACAUGCUAGAAAUCAUAUUCAAGACACAAACCAAUAUCACACUGCCAACUUAAAGGUGUCCCAUCAUAAGUGACUAAUGCAGGAUACACAAGAAGAGUAGUUUCAUGUAAGAACAUGGUGUGAUAGACAGAUAUAGUAUGUACCAAAAACAGGAAAGCGUGUCAUAUUCACAUGUAUCAUGUGUAAGCUAAGCAGAUGCAGUUUACACUAAUUAGGAGCAAUACGAGCUAGACACCAUAUGCAACAUGCAACCAGAUAUCACACUGCCAAUUUAGAGCAAGCACCUUGGAUGGUGGAGUAGGGGAGCGGAGACUUGGACCAUGUAAUGCACUAUCAGUACAAGGAGAAUCGGUACAGAUGCUCCGUUUAUGUUGCUGAAGAGGACCACCAUCAUCGCCUUCCUUACUCUUUUCCUUCCUCUUUCUUGAUUUUUCCUUGUCAAGUCAAACCCACAAGAAAAAGGAAUAAAAUUUGCUCUUCAGAACUUAUUGAUGCAUGAUACUGACGAACUCUACUUUCAUGUAAGGCAGCCGCAUGAUAGGAGGAUGGAAUACGUGUGAAAAAUAGGACGGCGUGACAUAUUGACAUGUAUGAUGUAUAAAGUGUAAACUAAGCACAAGGUGCUUGAACUUGUUAGAAUCGAUGCAAGCUAGAAACCAUAUGAAAGAUGAAACCAAUAUCACUCUGCCAAAUUAAAAGGGUGCCCUAACAAAUGUAUUUGACCAAAUUAGAAGCAAUACAUGUCAACAGGCUAGAAAUAAUAUGCAAUAUGAAACGAAUAAAGGUGACUCAUUGUAAGUAAUUGAUGCAGGAUACAGAAGAGAGGUAGUUUCAUGUAAGAACAAGGUUAACACAUAGAUGUAGUGUACCAAAAAUAGGAAGGCAUGUCAUAUUCACAGGUAUAGUGUGUAAACUAAGCAGAUGCAAUUUACCCUAAUUAGAAGCACUACAAGCUAGACACCGUAUGCAACAUGCAACCACAUAUCACACUGCGAAGUUUGAGCAAGCACCUGUGAUGGUGGUGUAGGGGAAGUGCUGUCUUCAGGUACAGAGCAACAUUCAAUAUCUUCAUUUAGGCUUGCUGUUUCUUGAGAAUUAUGUGGAGAGGAUGAAAUUGCAUUCUUUAUAAGAGUAUUGCGUCUCAUAUUAACCCACGCGUGUGACUGUCUCAUCAUAAGCGAUAGACGCAGGAUACACAAGAACGGUAGUUUGAUGUAAGAACAUGGUGUGAUAGGCAAAUGUAGUAUGUACCAAAAACAGGAAGGCGUGUCAUAUUCACAUGUAUAAUGUGUAAGCUAAGGAGAUGCAAUUUAAAAAAUUAGGAGCAUUGAUGAGGGAUACACAAGAGAAGUAGUUUGAUGUAAGAACAUGGUUAAUAGAAAGACGUAGUAUGUACCAAAAACAGGAAGGCAUGUCAUAUUCAUAGGUAUAAUGUGUUAACUAAGCAGAUGCAAUUUACCCUAAUUAGAAGCAUUACAAGGUAGACACCAUAUGCAACAUGCAACCACAUAUCACACUGCCAAGUAAGAGCAAGCACCUGCGAUGGUGGUGGGGGAAUUGCGGUGAUCAACUAGAGAGCUACAUUGACUAUCUUCAUUUAGCCUUGCUGUUUCUUGAGAAUUAUGUGGGGAGGAUGACACUGCACUCUUUAAACGAGUAGGGCGUAUUACAGUAACCCACCCGGGUGACUGUCUCAUCAUAAGUGAUUGACGAGGGAUACAAAAGAGCAUUAGUUUGAUGUACGAACAUGGUUAAUAGACAUAUGUAGUAUGUAUCAAAAAUAGGAAGGCAUGUCAUUAUCAAAGGUAUAAUGUGUAAAGUAAGCAGAUGCAAUUUAACCAAAUUGGAAGCAAUACAAGCUAGACACCAUAUGCAACAUGCAACCACAUUUGACAGCGCGAAGUUAAAGCAAGCACCUGGGAUGGUUGUGUGUGGCAAUUGAGAUCAUCAACUGCAGAGCUACUUUUACUGUCUCCAACUGCUGACACUGCACCCAUUAGAGCGCUGAAAUGCUUACUGCUUAUCUUCGAAUUACACUGGAGCGACUUCUGUCUUUUCUUUUCUGCAUUCAUCAACACUGCGUCAGAGUCUGAAAUACCCAUGCAUAAAAAAACAAUAGUGUGAGUAUGGGUGAAGUGUGUGCACAAUUAGUACAGUGUAAAGGUAGCAGAUAGCAGGUCGGUGAGAAAUAAAUGACGGGAGACAUAUGAUAGCUCUACAACAUGCAUGGCACACUCAAUUACUACAGGAUUCUAUGAAAAUAACAGUCGACUGAAAGAAAAUAGGUCAGUCCAUUUUUUCUGCAACGUCCAAUGUACAAAGAACGGGCAGAUCGCCUUCAUCUACCUCCAGCCAGUCAGUGUUGACGAUCUUCCUCGAAACGCCAGCGACCACCGGCCCAGUAUUCCUCCCCUGCCUGCGCCCUCCCCUCGACCUCACCGCACCGCCGUGCUUGGCACCGCCCACCCGGCCAUCCAUUCAAGCUCCGCCGACCUCCAGAUCGGGCGCAAGCAGCUCCUGCGCCCCACACCCCUAUGAUAGACACCGAUGCGCCGCUUCCCAGGGGAACAGGCGGACUAGGUGCUCCGCGCGCCUAAGCGGGUGCUGCUUCUUUUAAUUGCGGUUCGACUGACCCUGAAUUGAAAUCCAGGCGGGCUACUGACCUCUAGCAAAGGUGAAAUAGUAAAAGGGAGGAAACCUUGUGCAUUUAGUAUCACGAAGAAGAUGCAGUAAGAAGCGCUCAACUAGUUUCUUUCGUGGGAUGAAUACGGUGUGAGCGGCGACGUAAGAUUUGCACGAAUAAGGGAAGAGGAGUACCUCUUUUUGCUUGCAGUGCUGUGUCCUCCUUCUAUUUUUUCGACGAUCUUUUUGUUCGCCAGAAACCAGAAGUUGUGGAGGACGGUGCAGCCUUGGAUGAACCCAUGGCCAAGUUGUUGAGUGUGGUGCGGUGGCCGUCUGUCGGUGGCGGGGAAGCAGAUCCGAGGCGGCGAAUGAUGGCGUAGCGGGAACAACUCCAGUGCGGUGGACGGUUGCGACAGUGGAGCCGCAGUAGUGAGGCGCAGGACGGCGUGGUCGAAGUGGUUAUGGUACGGCGCACGUCGGCGUCGGUGUCGUGGAGGUAGCUCUGCCUCGGCUUCAGCUGCUAAGUCCUUGAGGGCAUUGCGGUUGCGGUUGCGUUGGGCGGCGACUUCGGGGUACCGGCUCCGGCAUGAUGGAGGAGGGCGGCGGUGGAUUGGCCGCUAUGGGGUGGAGGACGGAGGAUGCUGGGGUUUCGCAGCUGGUGGAGAGGGCGUUUUCGUGCCCACGGAGUAUGAAUGGGGAAACGGAGGGAGGCGGGGAACUAAGGGGGAACAAUGUUUUGGUUUGAGACGCGCUUGUUUGAAAUUUGGGGAAAGUUACAAACUUUGCCCCCAUCUAAAAUUUCGGACAUAUUGCGGGUUGGGGGUAGGACAGUCAUGUCAGGUGUCCCAAAUGUGGGCGGGAUAGAUUUCGGCCAAGCGCAUGGGUGUUUAGGCGCCCACGGCGUAUGAAUGCUUCUCGGAGGUGGUUGGGACUGGCGUCUUGGUGAAGUUACAAACCUACCCCGGUUUAGACCUUUGGACAUCGGGCCGAUAGGCUACACAGGCCAGAGUCAGGACAGUAAUUUCCUACCACCAAAACAUUAGUCUCGCACGGUUUCGGGUGACCAGAGGCCUAUUUGGUGCUUCGUUCAAUAUUUGGGAGUAGAAGCAUUAACGUUUUUGGUUCUCUUGAAUUGAACUUUCAGGAUUUGACAAACUUCACAAAUCUUUACUCUUGAAAAUCCUAAAGCUACGAUUAUUUUGGAAUGGAGGGGGUACAUUUUAAUAUACAUUGUACACGAGUAUAUAUUAAAAAAUAUGCAACUUACCUCAGUUCAUGCAUGGUUCCAGGUAUAAUCUCCUUGGUUGCAAAAAAAGUUAGAUAUGCGUAUGAAUAUAUAUACCAUGUUCAAACUCACAACAAAGAUUGAUGCCCCCUUUUACAUCUGAUUUACAAAUGCCAUUAUCUCGGGUUCAAAUAGAUGAAUGCACUUCCUAUGAAUUCGAAUCUUCGAAACCCCCUUUAUGUUGAAUUAGACAUGUAUUUUAUUUCGUAGCUAGCCAUUUGGAAUGUAUCCAUGCAAGUGACAAAUGUAUAAAGUGCUUCACACUAACAACAUGGAGUGCACUAAUUAAUGUUUAUAUAUGAAUUGCGAAAGCAUCCAUUGCCUGUAUUUCAAACCGCUCUCACUCUAUGGAUCGAUAAUAUGAAAUAAACACAUGCACAUGCUAGAAUUCAAUAGAGUAUGGGUGUCUGAUAGACCGAUUUUCGUCCAUACGCAAUUUUGCAAAAUUCAUGAUCUCAUCCAAAAAUAAUAAUGCCAUUUAUAUUUUAAUUUAAUGCGUAGAACCGCCUUUUACACGUAGAUGCACUAUGCCUCGCCCCGUUCUCACAAACGCGUUAUAUAUCUCUCUAUCUAACGCAUAAGUGCACACACUUUAUAUGCAUCGGCAUUUCUCUUUCACACAUGCUCACAAUCUCUCUCAAGGUGUCGGGGUGUCUCACGCACAUGCUCUCUCUGUUUCUCUAUCUCUCUUUCUGACUACUAUGUACCACUCUUUUCACUAAUCUCAGUUGGAAAACACUAUUUCUCUCACAUGCAUAUAUACACAUGCACGGUCUCUACUAGCCCUCUAUACGCACAUAUAUGUGCCUACGUGUCUCUCGCACGCACAUUAUCUUUAGGCCUCUCUCGCACACAUUGCCCCCCCCGACACACCUCUCUAAUAGUAGUUGGCAGAUAUGAUUUCAUCAUAUCAUUCGGUAGGAUAUCCCUGGCUGUUAGACUGGAUGGUAAUACGAGGCAAAGUUUUACCCUAGUUCGGAUCGGACCCUUGCAGUUGAAGAAAGAGCCUACUCCUGGUACUGUAUAUUAGUGUUAGGGGUGUGUACAAAGUACACGUGAAUACCAGGCAUUGUGCGUGUGUGUAUACCAUCGAUGAACUAGACCCCAAGCUUUUAUAACAUACUAAGGGCCUAGGGUUACAAAUCAUAUAUAGUCGGCUUAUCAGCAGUGGGGAUAGAGUCCUCCGCGACUCUGGUAGCUUCGUGUUGUAUGCCGAGUCCUCCACAUGGGUCUCCGUAUAACACGUCUCGGUCCAACCUAUAUGUGGCGCAGGAUGGAACCGACCCAUGAGUCUUCAUGUUGACCCACCACAACUAGAAAUGAUGUGCCCACCACACCACACACGCAAUCGGCCACUAAGAAAAUAAGCAUAUACAAUAGUACAACGGUAUCUAGCUCACGAUACGUCUCCAUAUUUUGUUGAUGACAGUGACGGACUUUGCAUUUGAUGCGUGCUCCGUAUUUUGUUGACGACACUUACGGUCAUUGUAUUUGAAGCGAAAGCACGAUAUGGUCACUGGACUUCAGAAUAAGCUCAUCACGGUCACCACAUACAUUUUGUCGUGCUAACCAACAUGUGGUUGGAUGGUUAGAGGACAUUGGUUUCUCGAGCCCACCAAGGUUAAAGUCCCGGUGCUCGCAUUUAUCUUGUGUUAAUUUCAGUAUUUUCUGGCGAUGUACGUUCAGUGGGAGGAGACAUUCCACUCGACUACGAGGCACCUAUGGUGACUUCGUAAAAUCUCAAGAUCAUAUAUGCUGGCCCACUCUCUCGAAGGUGCGGCGGCGGACCGGCGGUGGGGAGUGCUUUCGGGGANNNNNNNNNNNNNNNNNNNNNNNNNNNNNNNNNNNNNNNNNNNNNNNNNNNNNNNNNNNNNNNNNNNNNNNNNNNNNNNNNNNNNNNNNNNNNNNNNNNNNNNNNNNNNNNNNNNNNNNNNNNNNNNNNNNNNNNNNNNNNNNNNNNNNNNNNNNNNNNNNNNNNNNNNNNNNNNNNNNNNNNNNNNNNNNNNNNNNNNNNNNNNNNNNNNNNNNNNNNNNNNNNNNNNNNNNNNNNNNNNNNNNNNNNNNNNNNNNNNNNNNNNNNNNNNNNNNNNNNNNNNNNNNNNNNNNNNNNNNNNNNNNNNNNNNNNNNNNNNNNNNNNNNNNNNNNNNNNNNNNNNNNNNNNNNNNNNNNNNNNNNNNNNNNNNNNNNNNNNNNNNNNNNNNNNNNNNNNNNNNNNNNNNNNNNNNNNNNNNNNNNNNNAAUCUAAUGACCAGAGAUGAAAAAGUCAGUCGACUGACGUGUAGCCUCACCUCGCACGUACACAUGCACGCACGCAAGACACGCACGCAUGUAGGCCUGCAACACUAACACGUACACAUAAUGUACACACGCAUGCAUGCUAGAGUGCAACACUGACACGUACACAUGCACUCACGAAUACACGCACGUACGCACCCAUGCAUGCAACACUGGCGCACCCUUGCACACACGCAACACUCGCACGCCUGCAUGCACACAACACACGACGCAAUACACACGCUUAACUACAUGAAAAAGAUGACAUCACACUCAAUGAACAAGCAUCGGUUUAUGAAAUGUCCGCUUUUGACCGCCCUGGCCCACCAAAGGUUCCUCUGAUGUGCGCUGCCUGCGUUGGGUCACUGACAUGCAGGCCAUGCACCCAAAGAGCCCACACGUCAGUGGAAGAACGGCGCGGUGUCCUAGGUCAGAGUCGAGGGCGCCAGUCGCGGCACGCCCGGCUGAACACGCCUCCGUGCCGCAUUCAAACGCCUCCAUGAAACCCGCCCGUGUGGAAGCCGAGAAACCCACUCUGGACACACGUCCGUUCAUGACCGGGCCGGCGUUAAACGCAACACCGGCCGAGCUCCUCCCGUCCGCCAUCUAUUUAAUCUCCUAUUUAAAAGAGGCCAAACGCCGGCCAAGAAUCUCACACCUCCGCCGCUCCCCUAUCUCCUCCACCAUUUUGUCCACUCUUACAAUGGCUUACGAAGAGUAGUUAUUCCGCAUCCAAGCCGGCUGGGUAGCCCGCCGGAUACGAGCUAUGCAGCUCGCUGAUCCACCUCCCUCCCCUCGCCCGACGGAGCCAGUUGCCGCCCCAAGCCGGCGCGCGGUUCAACAACUCGCCGCUCCAAGCCAGUUUGACGAGGAGCGGUGCACGAGCGUCGUUGCUGCUGUCCAUGCCGCCGCCUCGUACCGCGUCUCCCGUUUCUGUGGCCGAGACUCCCAUGCCGGUGGCCGCGCCAUGCAAGCAGCGACAGAAGCCGGGUGCGCGGAGAGCGACGAGUCGGUGGCCAGCGCCUCCGCGUCCGCCGCCAUCAUCGAGGAGAAGUAGAACACGGGAGGCUGCCGCCGCUUGGGUCCCAUGAAGGCCACCGCGGAGGCGACGCCGGCGUACACAGCAGGUGUCUUGCCGGAUCCUUUUGUUGCAAGGACCUUCAUCGACCCUGCAUGGGCUCCACGGAAGAGGUCAAUGUUAGGAUGAACUCGAGCCGGUGCCGGCCAUGGCGAAGUAGUGGCCGGUGAUGAACUCGAACCGGUGCCAGCCACCAUCAUCUUCGGCACCAGCCAAUGAUAUUAGUUGGGCAAUGGGGAAGCGAGCUAUCCUUUGCGCUGAAGCAUAUACCUCCGGGGCUCCCGGCAGUCUGGUGAUCGUGCUGCCGGACAUGAGGAACACAAAUCGAUCGGCGGGCGACCAUUUAGGCCAGGUAUUAUAUACCUGUGCUGUCCAGAACUAGCACCACAUAGUUCAUUUGAAUGUAAUGAAAUCCGUCAUGUUUGUGUGAAAAUCCGGUAUUUUAUAUGAUUUCCGUCGUUGUUUAUAUGAAAUAUCAGUUUGUCUACGUGUUUGCGUGAAUUUCGUCCGGUUGGUUGAGUUGCUGUCAUAAUGUGUGCGGCUACGGUUGGAUGGCGUAAUUUGCGGGUCGCCGGUCGGUCUGCGGGCGGCUCGGGCGGCGUUGUGGGACAAAAAACAUAGCUCGUGCGAGCUCGUCUCCAAUGUGCGCGCUGGAGGAUGCAUGACAGCAUGAGCACCCGAGCCGUUCCUCGUUCAUCGGUGGCAUAGGCACCGGUGGACAAAAGGGUCACCAAUAUUUUGGCUACCCCGGUCAAGAUCCAAACAUACCCUCCCAACAGAUUCAAAUUCCUCGUUCGCCGUGGAAUUUUGCCAUGUGUUGUUUUCAUGGACUAGCAAGAUGCCCGUGCAUUGCAUGGAAUAUCAAGAUGCAUUUUUUUACAAACUCCCGCAUGCAUGCAAGGGAUAAUUAAUGUCCUCCUUUGCUAGUACCAUGAGGCAAACACCAUUAAUAUUGCAUCGAUUAGUGUUAGUGGCCUUGUAUAUCUGCAAAUUGUAAUUUUGAUAGUGUCCCCUUGUAUAUAAAAAUGGAGGGAGAAAUAUGAGAGAUAAGGUGAGGAGGAGUGGGGCGUGGUGCCGUGGUGGUGACUGGUGGUCGGACUGGGCGGAGGCAUGGGGAUGGACGGCGCAUUAUGUCUAGGUUUGUAUCUCUCUCACACACACCCACGUAGGUGGGGGACGUGCACGAAGAGAAGAGGUGCACGCACGGCACACGUACUCCCGUCUCUUUCCCAACCACACCCGCGCGGGUACAUGGUGGAGCUCAUUUCUGUACGAAAAAGGCAGCCCACAUGUUAAUUUGGCACGUGUAUUGGUUGUCCACUUGGUGGAGGGAGGAUCGUCUACCACGGGUGAACAAACAAAUUGCGACUUGACGCGUUAUGUUAAAUUAAAAAAAGAGGCAAACCAUGUGGGACCUACCUUAGAGGCAAGGCUCUAUACACUGGAGUACUUUUGAUGUGUCCCGUCAACUCGCAGAACAAGGAGGAACUUGCUUAAUAUGCCAUCUCCCCCGCCCACGGGCACGGUGGCUCGCAGGAUGAGGUGAAGCUGGAGUACUACUCUACGCCUUUAUGCUCGCUCCCUCGCCCACGCGCACGGUGGCUCACGGCACGAGGAGAAAAUUUUACUACUCCCUCCAUUUACUCCUCGUCCCUACUACGUACUUUGGUUAGUACUCCCUCUAUUUACUUAUACGAGGCCACUAUAAAAAAUACAUUUUGCAUCUAUACAAGGCUACAAAUAGUAAUUGAGACAAAAGUUACUACUCCCUCCUUUCCAGUUUAUGGCUCAAUUUCAAAAUCUCUCCAACCAAGGUAGACGGUGAGUGGUCGAAUUAAUUUCAUAGUUUGCACAGUACUCUCGUUUUUCUCAAGAAGUUAUAUUUACCGAGGAAUUAAUUAGAACGAAUGCAUGAAUGACCACUAAAUUUCCAUGAACUUGUACAUGCAUUGGUUAGUUUCCUCUUGACACUGCUUGCGUCGGGUGAUCUAACGCACCUCGAAAUCCAACAUGUAAUGGUACUACUACUAGUAUAGUAGAAUUGAGACUUAUCAAACGGAAAAACGAAUGUUUUUUAGAUGAGCCCUAUAAACCCUAGUGGGUACGUACUCCAUAAAAACAGAUUUUUCCAAAACUAAGUCGCUCCCUUUCAUGAACUUUGUAGUAUACUCCUUCGUCGACGCUCCCUUUCAUGAAUUCUGUACUUCCUGUCACCGACAUGUGGGACAUAUAGCAAUCGGGUCGACGUGUCAAGCACCAAAUAACAGUGCAGAACAGCACAGGGACGCUCCUCGUCGAGCUGGCCAUGUAAAGAGCGCUCGUCGCCAAAUUAUGCAUAUAGUACUAUUAAAAAAGCUAGUACGUGCUUAAUUGGGGUGCUAAAUUUUAUUAAAGAAAUACUAGUACUAGUAUGUACAUACUGAAGAGUUAAAGUAACAAGAAGAAACAUAACAUAGUUCUGCUGGGGGCUCAGCACAACACACCCCUCGAAUUAAACUAAGCACACCUGAAAUUAAACUAUGCAACUAAUCCGGUAGACACUGCAUUAGAAGUUUAGAACCGCCAUGAGCAACAACACUGCCACCUUACUCGGAGUCCUCGUCCAUGUCCUCGACUUCGUCCUUGUCCCUCUUCCUCUUGGCCGAUACUUCUUUGCUUGAACCGCCAACUUGGUUGUUGCUCUUCAUCCAACCCUUGUAGAUAUUGAAACAAAGGUAGCCAUCCAUUGCAGCGUAGUGGAUGUGGUCUAUAUCUAGUACAUUCCGCUGCCAUGCAUGACGAUGAAACGUGUAAUGAGGUUUCUCCAGUUUACGGUAUGAAGGAUGAACCAUGACUCCUGCCAAGGUCAGCAUUGAGGGCUGACGAGAGGGCACCAGCCGAUUCUUCUGGAGGUCGAAGGGGUUGCCUACAACGAGGCCUAUCCGACCCAGGACUUCUUUGUCGUUCUUAAAGUCUACAGUAACGAAUUUCACUGUGUUGUCCUCGAGGAAGUUCUUAAAAUCCUGGCACUCAACGUCGGCAUGGCAUAUGUGGUAUACCAAGCAAACGUUAUGUACGCAAACCUGGAUCACGGCGGGCUUCUUCCUCUCUUCGUCCUUUAGAUCCUUCUCUCGUCCCACGACUGUGGUGUACUCAACAUCUCGCCCAUCGACCCACUCAUCAUGUGAGUUUUCGAACAUUCGUCUGAAGCGAGAAAGGCAUCCUUUCACCGUCGCGUAAGUACGGGUAUAGAUGACGUUGAACUCAUCGCCGGUGAUGGUUCUAACCUUGUACUCACUGCCAAUCGGGGAGAUUUGGGACGCCAUGGAUUUGGGAGGAGGGUUAGGAUUAGUGGAAGUGCCGUAAUGUGAAUGGACGGGACGACUAGGAGCGAACCGCUGUAGUAUUAAAGGACGUGCGGGAAAGAGUAGGAGAGAACUGCCAGCGUGCGAACAACAGGGUAGUGGCUUUCCAUUCUCCCAUGAUACGGGCUUCCGAGAGCCCUUGGAUCUGAGAUCGAACGGUUGCAUGGCGUGAUUCUAGACCUCUGGGUGAAUAUCCUAUCCUGGAAGGUUAUUCUUACAAAUUUUAGCAGCUUAGCAUGUGACCGUUUGAUCUCAGAUCCAAGGGCAGCCAGCAGCCCAUAUCAUGGUUGCGCCUACCACGACCGUCGCGUCGCUCGCGCGGUCUCGCCCUUGGAGAUUUAACACGGUGCGUUAGGCUAUCUGAUGUUGGCAUGUCAUACAUAGUCAUCACUUAGUCACUCAUACUACAACAAGGUUGGCUACAAGUGUAUUUUUUUACUCCUCUCUAUCUCUUUCUUCGUACUCCCUCCGUCCCAUAAUAUAAGAACGUUUUUGACACUAGCUAGUGUAGUGUCAAAAACGUUCUUAUAUAAUGGGACACAGGGAGUACUAGUAUUUAUUGCAUUUGCCAAGGAGUGACCUCUUCCAAUGAAAUGGUGUUGCUAAGUUUGCUUCAUUUAAUUAGCUAUAGACUCAAAAUUCUCUUUUCACCUAGGUACACGCGCUUAGCACCGUUUCUUCCUUGGGUCACCAAACUAGUCUCUCUCUUCUUGAUUAACUUGCCACAUCAGACUUUAUGCCUAUGUGGCAAGCUUAAGCACCUAUAGGAGCAAGUAAGUACAAUAGUGUGCUUUACAUGGCAUUUUUGCAUAUGUGGAGGAAAGAGAGGCAAGGAGAAAGUGGAGAAGUGGGCUCUCAUGCAAGAGCCAGCCUCUACUACUACAUGGUGGAGCAUUGGGAGAGGCACCUAUAUGGAGGUGGUCAGGAAUCGGGAGACUCACGCCGGUCGUAGCGCCGCAGUUAAAAUGAUAAUGGCAAGUCAAAUCACGGGGCCCCACCUGUCCAGCAGUAACUCGCUAUCAAAUCACAUAGCCCUACGUUUGCAGCAACCUACUCCCUCGUCUUCUCGCGUCUCUGUCGAACCGACUAGGUGGAACUGCCCCGCCUACCGUGCAGGAAAAGCCCUGCCCUCGACUUUUAAAUACAACUACUCCCCCCUUCUAGGUGAGUAAGUCAUCUUACAAAAACCAAAUAAUCCCACAAUACUAAGGUGUGGUGCAUUAACUUCUACCUUGUUUCUUGUUUCUUCACAUAUCAACCAAUAAGAAUCCAAUGAUAUACUUUUUGUGACAUAGUAACUCAUAUUUAGUUAGUCAAAUGGAUGACCUAGAACUAUGUGCAGGCCCUAUAAACCGAGAUGCCUACAAAUAAAAAACCGAGACGGAGAGGGUAGUUCAGCACGUAUCUUUUUAGAUCAAUAUAGUCAGGAUUCACCAAGGAGCAAAACCAAGUGGUAGGCUGCUCCUGUCAUGUUGGCGUAGCAACUCAAGCAGGGUCAGUCUGCACACGAAAUGGCGACACACUUAACAGGACCCCUUUGGCAGACAUGUGGCUCAUCCACCGUCUUGUUCCAUGUGUGAUGCACCAAAUUACUUUUCGGAGCAGCGGUUGGAAUUGGAGGCACCCCAGUCGUAGCGCCGUAGUAGUAGAAAAUGAGCGAUGAGGGGUCAAAUCACAAAGCCCCACCUUUCCCGCAUUAAGCUGGACGGACGAAGCAACCAUCAUUUCACUCUAGCGUGCAAGAGCAUAAAGAAAAGAGAAAACAAUGAUGCGUGCGGCAGCUACCUAGGGCACCCUAGGGCAGGGGUCUCCACUACAGGUCCUUUUUUUUGAAAGCGCCUCCACUACAAAUCGGCUUCUCCCUCGUCCUCUUGAAGAAAACCGAUGAUGAGUGCGGCGGUAGGGUUUGUAGGAGUACUAUGGCGUGCGGGGCCACGUCGUAGUAAAUGGGUUCGAGUCGACGCCUUAAAUAUGUGUGGGCCGCUUGGUUUUAUGGGAACGAGGCAACAUUUUGGGUUCGGGGACCAGCGGAGAUAUAGCACGUACAAAAUAUUGUGGACGUAGGUUCGACCGAAAGGCAAUGAUGCAUGGGCCCUGCAUUUUGAUAUACCCAGGGCCACGUGAAAUUUGCUACUCUACUCAAAACUAGUAAGGUACACAUGUAUUGAACGCAUGAGAUUUCGAAACCAAAUUAUGAAUAAAUACACACUAUAGCAUGUAAAGCUUUGAGUCAUAUAUGCAUGAUGUAGAUGUUCGUUUAGUUCUUAUAGUUCAUCUCAUUCAAAAUCAAUUAGUUUUAUAAAAAUGUUAAGAUUCAUGGGGUUGUGCAUUAUAAAUCAUAAAGUAAAAAACAAAUAAUGGCAAUUCAUUUAGAAAAAAAUAAUCAAUUAUGAUACAGAAGAUUCUAGAACAAAGGAGAAGUGCUUGUGUUUUGAGGAUUGUGCAUUAUGCUUAAGUUAAACCAUGGAGUCUUCUAAAUUGUACAUGUGGCAGAUCUGGUGGAACAUUGAUGAUAUCCAACGACCAGUAGUGCUCGGAUUUUCCCAUCUCUGCACUGUCGGGUUAGCUUCAUCCAGCGACCAUCUUUCAAAGUUAUUGGCACACUAUAUGGUUCUUGUGCCAUAGUUGCAUGUUUUGGAAAAAAGCUACUAGUGGGUUGUGCUAUCUAUUUAGGAAUAGAAGAUGCAUACAUGGAAGUUGUAGGGAAAGAGAUGACAUGGAGCAUCUCAAUUCCUAUGAGUAGGGAUUGGAAAACAGAUGUCAUUUGGUCCACAUCAUAGGAACUUUUCUAUUGAAUCUAGAGAUGACAUGUAUCUCAAUUCCUAUGAGGAGGGAUUAGUAAAGAUAUGUAAUUUGGUUCAUAUCAUAGGAACUUUUCUAUUGAAUAUACGCUAAUGUUUAUUUUCCUUUGAAAUUAAGGGAGUAUAGGAAUCCAUUCAUAUGAACCAAGUGGCUCUAAAGCUAUAGAAAUGAUAUCAUGUUUAUUUCCUUUGAAAUGUAGAGUAUAUGAAUCUAUUCCUAUGAACCAAUUGGCUCCAAAGGAAAAAAUCCUAUAAAAAUCAUAUCAUAUAGAGUUCCUAUGAUAUUCCUCGACACUAAAGGAUGGUUGAAAUUGCUGCGGGUGAUACGAUGGUAUUUCUUUGUAGACUCCUCACCCAUCUUUAUAGUUACCUAUCGAAGAUGAAUGAAAUGAUAUAUACAGGGUAUUCUACAUGUGCAAUUUGGUACACAAAAACUCGGUAAAAGUUUGCGAGGUUCUAAUUUUCAAUAAAUCUAUAUGCACUGCAUUUUGGAACAGAGGGAGCAUACGGCAGUUGCUAACACUCACGUGGAAGAUUUGUGUGUAGGAGGAGUGGCUAUUCUGUUAAAUGACAUGGCAAAACUGACACUGUCGGAUGCCAAUCUAACGGUUCUUACGGCGUUCGUCAGGAAAAGGCUUGUGGCGAACGUUUGUCGGAUAAUGAUUUACGGACACAUGCAUUGCAUUGAUACGUGCCCCCCUCUCUCUCACGCACACGCACCCUCACGAGUCACGACUCUCCCGAGUCCUCUCGCAGACUCGCACGUCGCACCCGUCGUCUAUCUGCAGGUAGACGUCACGCACAUAUGUGCUCUUCACACCCUACCCACAGAACUUCUAAAAAACAAAAGACAACACGCACAUUUUAUUUUAGCUCACAUGUUACACACUUAUACUAUUACUCUUGCAGUGAAUGUUCUUUGGGCAUAGUAUAUAUUGUACUCUCACGAAGAGAAGCGGUGCACGCAUGCACUAGUUCUCUCACACCCACUCGCGGGUACAUGUAGGAGCACAUUUUUUUGAAGCCGGUACAACAAAAUCACUCCACUAUAUAUAAAAGCAGGAGCCUUAGCGCUUGCUUUACUAGGGUUCCUCUCGUUCACUCUCUCAUGCUCUCCAGAUCUAAGCAAGACAUAGGUGGCCACACUCUCUCUCUCAGCUCAUGGUUGGUCACAAAUCCGACCGGACAACCUCGACUAGGGCAGGGGGUGUAGGUGCAUCAUUCACGCCGUCGUCGGCGGCGAGGGAGGAGACCAAAGGCUGCCCGCGCGUCUCGAUCGGCGGCUGUGCCGUUCUCUCCGAGAGAGCGCCGGCUCAGGAGGGCCUCCGACCCCUUCUUCCUCCCUGCGGUAUUGUGGCCAAGAUGCGGCCUCCCGACACCGUCUUUGCCACAUGCCGACGACCCUCAGGUAUAUAUUCCUUCGAAACCUGCCUUACUCUACUGCCCCAGCUCUUCCCCCUUCGUGUGGAUCCUUUUCUACUUCCGUCCGCUGUUACAAAGCCACCUAGAUUUCUACUAUUAUUAGAAGUAAAGCUAGUUCAUACAGUGAACUCAAAGUGUUGGUUCAAACAAGGAAGAAAGUGGGAAAGCUGUAGCAUGAAUCUAGGACUUGGUUCUGAGAGGAAACGGGGGAAAGUAGUAAUAUGUGUCACUGUUUAAAUAACCGUAUUUCGUAUUUGCGCAAACAGGGAUGUCUGUCUCCAUAUCGUUUCAGGAUGUCUGUCUCUGUAUCGUUUCUAUCCGCGCAAUCAAAAGCACACACCUCAAUUUUAGUACAACUGCGCAAAAUGAGAUGGCUAUCCCUCGUUGCCGUCGUCUAACCUCCCAUCUUCAAGGUAUCCCUACAUUGGUAGUAACUAAGGUAGAAUGACCAACGCAAUCUAAAAGAAGUUGAUUCGUACGUUUUACUUCCUGAUUGCAGUGCAGGGACGAGCGAAAACAACUGCAUCCUAGUCUGGAAUGCACUUUCUACCAGUUCAUCCAUGGACCGAGGACUAGCUGGCACGGCUACACGACGGUUUUUUGGACAGGUGCACGGACAAGAGGCAUUGUGGUCUGCUUAUUUCUGCAAAUAGCAGUGCUUAAAUUUAGUGGAAUGCACAAGCAUUUCAGCUGGUCAGUAGACUGCAUGGUUCAGUUCAGCAUUCCAGCUGAGACCACAAUUAUAAUUGGUUAUUCUGGAAUGAGAUAACCUAACCCUGGAUGGUGGUAACAAGAAAAAACCAGAGUGAACUCCAGGAAAUUUAAGCCUGCCGGGAGGCCCUUUGCUCAGAGAAGCCUUGCUUGUUUUUUCCUGAUUUGUAAACCUUCUCACAACUUUGUCUUUUGUUGUGAACUAGUAUAUGUUUGUUAUGUUCUAUGAAUCAUUGAGAUGUAUAAAAUUGCUUAACUUAUGCUUUUCAAGAUUUUUAUGAAGACGAGUUUAAUUGUGCGUGUUCCACAUGAGCGCUGGACUAGCGUGUGAACGUUUGGAAUUUAUUACAUUAUGGCCUCAAUUAACUGCAUGAACCACUGUAACAAGAUACAUAGUAGUUGCUUAUAUAUCAGACAUCAGAUUGUUGAUUGUUAGCUGGUCGAUAGCCUAGUGUUGAAGCAAGCUGAGACAAUGUGUCGUGUUUUGCACAACUGCUUACAAGUGGGGUAGCACCAACAGUGUUUACAAGUACUUAUGUAUACGUCGGCGCACGGUUCUCGAACGAGUGCUCUAUUUCAUCAAAACACACACUACUCGUAUGAUAAACCGUGACAACUUAUGUCUUACCAUGCCAUAUUCAUGAAAAAACUAGUGAGGACGCAUCUCUUUCGGCAACAAUUAUGAUGGUUCUCACAUGAUUCACGGGCACACAAAAGUAGCAGCAGUUCCCAUAGACGGAUUCAAACAGAGUACUAGCCCCAGAGGGGUCGAUAACAGGCAAGGUUCGGAUAAUUAGACACAAUCCAAACUACUAUUAAACACUAGCUGGGGCAACUAUUUCAUGCCUCGAUCUAAUUUGGGCUGGACACAAGAUGGACCUUGCCAUGAACAUCAUCGAGGAUGUCCCGCAGCAGCUCAAUCCCGUGAACCUUCAUGAAAACAACCUUGUGGCCUUGCCACUGAUAAACUUGUUUGUGGAGGCAUGCCACGUCAUCUUCCCGCAUAAGCUUGACAAGAACAGUAUGCCUCACAAACGAAGGAGUAGCUUUGAACUUCUUGUUCUUCAGUACACCCUGGACAACACGCCUGACAACAGUGAGGCUGGAAUACAACUCUUCAUUGGUAUAACCGCAAAUGGCUUCCAGGAUCCAACAACCUAAGAACUGUGUUUUCCUAGUGCGUAUAUUCAGGUCGUCCGCCUCAUAGCGAGUGACAUGCACAACCACACAAUCCUUGUCUGCAUCAGGGCUCUAAUUGAAACAGAAACAAAUUCUGAAUUACUUUUCAGUAUAAGAAACACAAGUUAUUUAAACCACUAUGUAUAGCAUGGCAUCGAAGCUAAUAAAAGUUUGCAUUAUUAAUCACCACAUACUUCCUUUUCUAAAAAAUCACCACAUACAUAGAUGAAAAACCACAAUCAAGAUCGGCAAAGAANNNNNNNNNNNNNNNNNNNNNNNNNNNNNNNNNNNNNNNNNNNNNNNNNNNNNNNNNNNNNNNNNNNNNNNNNNNNNNNNNNNNNNNNNNNNNNNNNNNNNNNNNNNNNNNNNNNNNNNNNNNNNNNNNNNNNNNNNNNNNNNNNNNNNNNNNNNNNNNNNNNNNNNNNNNNNNNNNNNNNNNNNNNNNNNNNNNNNNNNNNNNNNNNNNNNNNNNNNNNNNNNNNNNNNNNNNNNNNNNNNNNNNNNAACGGGGUGUUGACCAUCUCAGUAGUGUCCGUGAGCGUAUCUGGGGUCGGCUCGGUGGUUGCCUCCAUCUUCUGGGAGCUCUCUGUCUCGUGGGGAUCAGCCUCCCCCGUCUGCUCCAAUAUCGGCAGAUCUUUGCCUGGUUCUCCUUGGUCCAUCAUGAAACUGACGAAUACUAGGAGACCACUGAAAGGAAAACACAAUCGCAAUGACAAUGAAACAAAAAAGAGAGUGAGGAUCAGUUACUGCUUUGCAAAAGUUCUUUUUUUCUCUGAACGAAAAUAUACCAACAUCACGGAUCCGCUUACCUUCCCUUCGUUGGGGGAGAAGAACAGUGGCAGAUGCUAGUGUUGCCUUUCUUGAAGACGGUGAGGGAGAAGGGGAUUCAGCGAGGAAUGAAAUGAUGGUUGCUUCGUCCGUCAAACUUAGACUGCGGGGAGGUGGGGUUUUGUGAUACGACGGCUCGUUACUGCCGCGCUACGACCGGGGUGACUCUCCGCCUGCAUACUGCCUGCUAAUUUGGUGGAUGGCAUUUGGGCCCGCGCACUGCAUGGCCCGCAUGUUGGUGAACAAAAGUAUAACGGCAUUCAGUAGAGGGAGACGUUUCAAUGACCUAGGAGGAGCCAGAAGCGGUAGAGUGUCUCCACUGUACUAGUAGUAAUUGUUUUUCUGGGUAGCUGUAGAGUGUCUCCACUGUACUAGUAGUAAUUGUUUUUCUGGGUAGCUGUAGAGUGUCUCCACUGUACUAGUAGUAAUUGUUUCCCUGGGCCCAAGACAAAACAGCCAAUCCACACUAGUAAAUAGUAAAAUCAAUUCAAAAGGCGCUACCCACACCCAGCACACCGCCCCCUCCCCCACAAAAAAAACCUGGGUGCUCUUCUUCCUCCUCGCUCCCACCCACCUCACGUCAGCUCACUCCACUUGUACCCCCAAAUUCCUCACCUCACUCCUACAGAAAACCCCAGCUCCCCUUCUUCCUCACUCCAACAGAAAACCCCCAGCUCCCCUUCUUCUUCGCUCACACUACAACUAGGCUCGUCAUUCGUUACUCUGCUCAAAUUCGUGAGCGCGACAUGACGCCCUCGAGGAAAAUGGAGUCGGCUGACCCCAGCGCCAAGAAGAUGAGGCUCCCGCUAGCGGCGACGCCUGUUGUAGAUCCCGCACCCAGUAGCACGGGGAGAAGCGGCGACCCCGCCCGCACCAGAUCCCAGGAACCCGUAGAAUCUCGGGUGGACCGCAUCAGCGACUUCCUAGACGCCAUCCUUGGGGAGAUCAUCUCGCUUCUCCCCACCAAGGAUUGCUGCCUCACCCAAGUCCUCUCAAUUCGGUGGCGCCCUCUAUGGCGCGCCGUGCCCCUUAAUCUCGACUGUUGUCAGCUAUCUCUGUUCAAUGAUUUUGAAACCCCCAGAGCCAUCAUCUCCUCCCACCAGGGCUCCGUUCAAAGCCUCUGUAUCCCGUCAUGCUACCUGAGCAAGCAUACCAUGCCCUGCAUGGUGGACGCCUGGAUGAAAUCCCCUGAAUUCAUAGAACUACAGCUGCUUGAGUUCUAAUAUUCCCCUGGAAAUCACAUACCACAUACAGAACGCCAUGAACUUGUGCCCUCAGCACCGAUGUCCAUCUCGCGGUUUUCCUCCUCUCUCCACACCGCCACCUUUGCACUGUGCUACCUACCAGACAAUCUGGUACUAAACCUUCGACUCCCAUUUCUCAAGAAACUUUCACUUGUGUGGGUUCGUAUAUCGGAGGCCUCAUUGCACAGCAUCAUCCACUCAAGUUGCCCUGCGCUGGAGUGCUUGGUGCUUGUUUUCACAGUUAGAAUCGGUUGUCUCCAAAUAAAGUUGACUAACCUUGUAAGAAUUGGAAUUUCUUUUGAUGGAAGGCAGCUCAUCAUCCAAGAUGCCCCUUCACUUCAAAGGUUGAUCCUUGAUUCUAGUUAUUCACCGUUGCAAAUAACCGUCCUCUCUGCGCCUAAACUGGAGACCUUGGGUGUAAUACAUGAUCUCUGUGCUCAUUUCAAUAUGGUGUUUGGCUCCACAGUUCUUCAGGUACUUUAUAUUAUCAUCUACACUUGUAACCAUAUGCUGCAUUUUAAAUUUCUGCGCAUAAUUUAUAUAUCAUCUUGGAGUACACAUUUUGUACUAAUAUUAUGUUCUAUGCUCAAUGAAGAGUUUCUCCAUGGAUGGCCUAUCAAUGGUGUUGGAUUCUGUCAAGAUCUUAUAUAUCCAAAUGAAUAGUUUUGAUCUGAACAAGAUUAUUGGCUUGCUACAAUGCUUUCCAUGUCUAGAGAAGUUAUAUAUAAAGGUGAUAAUUUCAUGCACAUUGGAAGCCCGCAUAUAGUGUACUAGAAUUAAUCGUUCAGUUGUUGCUCUUUCGACACUCUUCUUUUAGACCUUAACUAUUUUCAAUCUUCAUGUCUAUUUAGGCAACAGGACGGGGUAAGAAAGUUAUAACCAAUCAGUGGAUUCGUAAGCAUCAGGAUUUUCUCACUUCUCAUGAGAUUCGAUUGAAGACAAUAACGCUAGAACGAUAUGUAGCGAACCGUGCAAACACAAGAUUUGUCACAUUCUUCCUGCUGAAUGCGAGGUUUCUAUUGUCCAUCAGGCUUAAGUUUAUGAGCAGCAUGGUUUUGACGGAUGGGUAUGUCGAAGAGCAAAAAAAGGAGUUUCAGGUGGGCAAAAGAGCUUCUGAACGUGUCGGGCUUCUAUUUACAACAUAUUGUGGUCAUAAUCCAGUAAAUUUUACGAUCUAGGAUGUUCAUUCUAUGGACCUGACCGAUCCAUUUGACUGUGACUGCCGAAAAUAGUGCUGGAGUUAGAUGUUGUUGCCCUUUUCAAUCUGGUUUUUUUGUAAACCUGAUGAACAAUCAACCCUCGUGCUUUUGUAUAGUUUGUAAGCUGGAGUUAGAUGUUCCUGCCCUUUUCAACUCGGUUGUGACUGUCAUAUUUUCUUUGAAACAAGGCAAAUGGCUUGCCAUUUGUUUAAUUUAGAGUGAAAUAUUGUAACAAAUCACAACCAAGGGAAAUAACAUCACUCACGCCGGCUGCUUGAGCUCACUGUGCAUUACAGGAGCCAAGUGACUAGCCCCCACCACCCCCACCAGUCAACCCUCGUACUCCCCUCCGCCUGCGACUAGACCGGUGCAUCUUCAACGGCUCCUGUUUGUUCCGUCCGAGGCCUCGCCGUUGUCCUCCGCCUUGCGGCCUUGGUUUGCUCGCCGUGCACGGUGCACCGACCUCUUGCGUUGUCAACGUCGUCAACAACCGAGAGGAACAAGGAGAUGACUCUACGUGGAGAGGAUGACAGUAGGGACCCACCAGCGUCAUGGCAGUACACAAGCAAGUGCCUCUAUAGUACAAGCCCAAAAAUAUGGUUCCUCCUAAUGGUUGGACAUCUUGGGCUCACGCCAUUGUCAACGUAGUCAAUAAACGAGAGAAUUACACUACGAGCGUCUGACAGCAGGGACCCAGCAAGUCGCGCAGUUUUUUUAGGAAGAAAGCAGUUUUUUUUGAGACAAUGAGGAACAAGUAGUUGUUAUUUAUACUAGUUUUAGCGACGGAUCAGGGUACCAACGGGGCUGUGUGGGGGUUGUGGCCCGUCUAGCCAGUGUUUUAUUUAUGUUUACCACAUGAUGAGCCCAGUUGUGUUUUUUUCUUGCUGAAAAUGGCUAGCCCAGUUCUAAUUUUUUUAAAGAAAUACCCAAACAAGGCCUACUUGCUUUAUCGGCCCUGCUAGGCUGCAAAUGUUUCAAGACGAGGAGAGUUUCAUUUGGUUUUCCCAGAAAUGGCAUGUACAUUUUUAAAACACAUCAAACCGGGAAUUACUUUCAAUUUUUUUCAUUACAAGAUCUUAAAUUCCAUUGAUUUUUAUGCAUGGACAAUUAUUUGGAUUUUAUAUUUAUAUAAAUUAUUUUUCAAAAUAGUUUGAAUGUGAAUCGAUAUUUCUGGAUUAAAAACGGUUGACCGCACUGAAAUAUGCAAAAUUUCGUAUAGUUUUUAACCGUGGCCACAAUAUGGGGUGUAAUGCUAACAAAAAGAAGAUGGGCUCCAAAACAAAUCUUAAGAAUUAGCAAAUGGGCUGUACAUUAUUAGAAAUAAUGGCAGAUGGGCUAUAUGCUGUUUUCCACAGAUUUGAGGCUGACUUGUGCGCCUACUACAGGUUGACGCAUAUGCUUUCAUAAAAAAAAAGGUUGACACACAUGCAACGCCCUAUCAACUUAGUCAACACACGAGAGCAGUGACUGUUGGAUAUCCAUCCAACGGCUGUCGUGCUUCUUCAAUCUCUGCUCUUCAUGCUCCAGCCGCUCAAACAAGCAUCGGCGGGACCGCCUGCUCCCUCCUCCCGCGGUCGGGUAUGCUGCCGCACAGGCCUCAUGGCCCCACCAUACUCCCAUCGCUGGCCUAGCCAUCCCUUUACUCACCCACACAUGUUGUUAUUCUCCGGCGACGACAGACGAACCAGUAAACCCUCGUACUACUCCGCGUGGGAAACAACUGCCGAGUAUUCCCUAGCUCCGUGUCGUUCCCUUCCUAGGCCUCGCCGUCGUCCACUGCCCGGGUGCUCUCGGCACGACCUGGUCAACGUGGUCAAUGAACGACAUCCAUCGGAAGUGGACUGUACGUGGAGAGGCUGACAGCUGGGUCCACGGCCGCACGCAAGGAAAUGCCUCCUUAUUACGCGCAAAAUAAUGAAUCCUCCACCUGACAGCUAGGACCCACAGGAAGGGCCUCUAUAUUUCACGAAAAAACAUUCCCCCCGCUGACAGGUCGGACCCACCAGCUAUAUAUUCGCACGCAAGGAAGUGCCUCCUUAUUACACCCAAAAAAA
RNAcentral lists this long non-coding RNA (64031 nucleotides) under Triticum aestivum (bread wheat). RNAcentral describes it as "long non-coding RNA (TAES_LNC022509)". The record is from RNAcentral. Lineage: Eukaryota; Viridiplantae; Streptophyta; Magnoliopsida; Poales; Poaceae.